AAUGAUUAAUUCUGGUCGAGAAUGGUUAAGGCAUAAGGAAUAGAAUUGUGACAAAUCUAAUUAUAUAGGGACCGAAAGCGAACUUCUCAAAACAUACGGUGCCCUGACCUGAAGUGUAAUUUAACCCAUUUAUUGUUGCAGUUUCACGUUUUUGGAGAAUUGCUGAGCAUGGUAUUAGCAUCCCAACGGUUGAAAUACUGAAACUCCAUACAUAGUAUUAGCUGAUGGAUUUAUGAGAUGGGCUUAAGGCCCGUCCACCCAAGUUGGGCCGAAAAGGCCCGGCCCACGGGAAUAGGGCCCGUGGAGGGGGAAGGUAUAAAAGGGAGGAGAGAGAGAGAGAGAAGAUAACGUUGUUUUGGAUAAACGUACGUCUUCUUUUCUCCAACGCUCUCUCCCCCUUAAGACAGAAUAGUAAGGCAAACGGCACGUUCUUCUUCCCUUCAAGGCGCCAUCGGAUCGAACAGGACCAGAAUUUAUUCUCGAUCAUCAGCAUUGGUGUUUAAUCUGUGGCUAACAAGGUACGCUCGACUCCGUAGUGUGCUUUACGAUCGGUGAUAUGUGUUUUCCCCUGCUUCGUCUUCCGCAUUGAUUUAGGGGUUCGAUUUAGUGUCGAAUCCGGUUUUUCGGGGAUCAGUCAUUCCCAACAUUGGUAUCAGAGCCCUAGUUCACGUUUUCCCGAUCAAUUUGAUGUUUUUUGAUUGAUUUAUCGCGAAAAAUCUUCGGCCGUACGGAUCGGGGCGAAAAUCCCGACACCCGAGCGCUAUUCGGCCAUUUUUCUGAGUUUCCCUAAGUUGGAAUCAAAUUCUGAAGGCACUGGGUGAAAGGCGACGUUGAGACGAGUCCGGCGACAUGUCGUGUGUCGCCGGACGACGCAGCACGCGCCCACACGCGCGGCCACAAGCCGCUGCGCGUGGGCGCCACGCGCCCGAAGCGCUGGCUAUGGCCAGCGCGUGCGCCACACGCGCCGAUGACGAACUAGCACGUGCGCGCCGGCGACCGGCGAAACGGCACGCGCCGGUCUGUGGACCGACGCGUGCUAACGUCACGCGAUGACGUCAUCCAACGGUUGGUAACCGCUCGGAUGACGUCACCGAUGACGACGUUUCGCCGGGCGGUGACCUGUCGGCGACUCGACCCGACUCGUGUACGCAGGCACGCCCCCGGCACGUGCCGGAUGACGUCUGCGUGACGUCAUCCCCCGCACGCACGAGGCACGUGCGGUCAGUCCGCGCGAGCGGUCCGAUCGGCCCGACCGUCGCUAUCGGUCCAACCGGUCCGACCCGCGUUGACCCGACCCGUUGACCCGUUGACCACCGUUGACCACCGUUGACCGACGACCGUUGACCGUUGACCCGGAAAAAAAAAAAAAAAGGAAUUUGUUUCUUUUUUCAAUUAUGUCUGUAUGGGUUGUAGGUAAUCCAUUUUUUAUUCUGCAUUUGUUGCAUGAAUCAUGGAAAAUUAUGUAUUUUCCAUUUUGUUUAUUAUGGAUUAUAAGUGAUCCAUUUUAGUUCUGCAUUUGUUGCAGGAACUAUGAUGCGUUAUGCACGGAUACUUGCAAUCCUAAGAACGGACGAAGGUAGAGCUAGACUGAAAAGGCUGAUGAAAGAGUUAGCUGAUUAUCAGUGGCUUGAUGGUGAUUUAGUAUCACAUAUGGUCAAGGUCAAUCAGAUGAUACAGGAAAUCAUCUUGAAUGGUUAUCUUAUGCCGGACUUUUAGAAGGUGCCGACUUUGAUGAACACUCUUCCACCUGAAUGGCAAGCAGUGUUAGAUCGGCUAUGGGAGGUCAACGUGGUCCCGGAUUAUAAGGGGCUAGUGGAAGCUUUUGUAGGAGAAUACUAUAGGAUUGAGUUGGCCAAAACUUCAACCCUUAGAUUGAGUGCCACAUGGCACAGAGUGAAUGCGCCUUGGUGGCGACAUGAGAGCUCUCCAAAAGUUUUUCCAUGGUUGGCAAAUGCGCCUUCAAAUUUCUCAAAUAUUAUGGCUGAUAGAUUAGAAUGGACAUUCCCUAUUUAUUUCUUUGAUUAAUUAUGUAAUGUUUACUACCUGAUUGUUGUUGAUGUAGCAAUUGAUAUGUUAGUUGUAUUACGUGAAAGCAUUGUUAUUUUAUUCGAUGUUAAGAUUUUAUUUGCUUUCUGCUUGUUGACACCUAAAUUUUUAGAGUUAAUUUUUGCUAAAUAAAAAUAAAAAUAAAAAUAAAAACACACAUGGCAUGUAGUUUAGAAACAUUUUAUUUUCAUUUUUUGUUUUAUUUUAUUUUAGGCUGUCGGUGAAGGGAAGAUUUUUCACAUAUUCCGUUUAAGCUUUUCAUAUUUUUAAGUAAUAUACACUAGGGGCGUAUUUCGUGCAAAAUGGGAAUAUUUUUGGAUAGAAUAUGUGAAAAAUACAAAAGAGAAUAUCACAUGUGGUGCAAUGAUAUAUUCAGAGAAUUAUGCAUGAGUGAAAUUGGAAAUAAAAUACGCUUCAAAGAUCUAAAAUUUUCCCCUAUAAAAGGCGUUGCGCACGUACGGACAAAGGGGGGAGGGAUUUCGAAAAAAUUUGGAGCAAAAGGGAUCCCUUCCGUCGAGUAAAAAGGCACCAAAAAAGAGCAAAAAGUGAAAAGUGAGUGAAGAGAGAGGAAAAGUAAAAAAAAAAAAAAGAGUAAAAGAAAAGGUAAAAAAAAAAGAAAAGUUCCCCCCCCGCGACUGUUCAUCUUCCUCGCGGGGGAGGGGGUCUCUGCCGGCGCCGGCGCCGACUGCCAGCGUCAUCGCUGUCCCGACGCCGCCUCCGUCCGCGCUGCCCCGACGCGCCACCGCGUCCCCCGUCACCUCUGCAGAUCUGUCCCGCCCAUCUCGACGAAGACCCAGAUCCGACGCCGCCUUUGCUUCGCUCCUAACCACGCGCAGAUCAGACCCCGACGCCCGAAGGUCGCGCCGAACCGACUCUCCGCCGCCGCCGCUCACCUUCUGCAGCCUCAACGCCCGAAGCUUGCAUCGCUCCGACGUUGUCUUUGCCGUCGCCGAUUUGCAGCGCCCCAGCUCCCCGAUCUGCUGCUCCGCCGCUGAUCUCGCCCUCGGUUCGCCUGCAACUCGUGACCCAGUAGAUUCCGAGCCGGCUCGCCGCCCCUGCCUCCUCGUUCGCUGCUCGUGCCCCCCCCCCCCGACGGUAGCCGGUCCAGAUCUAAGCGCCGACUUCCAAGCUUUGCCUGUGACGCCUCGCCUCCGCCGAAUCCACCGCCUGCGACGCUCGCACCCAGCUCCGUGCCGAUCCCGAAGCCCCGGUGCCGCGCCGCCGACGUGCCACCCCUGCCUCCCUCGCCAGAACCCUAGCCGACAAGCUCUCCCUCGCCGGACCUCUGAACCGGCCAAGCUUUUUCUUUUUUUUUAUUUUAAAAAAAGAAAAAAGAAAGAAAAUUAAAUUAGGUAUUUUUACUUUACUUUAUUAGGCAAGUUUAGGUUUUUUAUUUAUUUAUUUUAUUAUUAUCUCUUUAUAUGUUGUUUUCUUUAGUUGAAAUACCUAUCUAUGCAUAAAUGAAAAUCUCAAUAUAUCACCCGAUUCGCAACCGCGCCAGGGUUUUUUUAUUUCAUCUACAAGGCUUUAGAUGAAAUAAUUAAUUAAGCGGGAAUAAAAUUGAUGUUUUGAUCUUUAAGGCUUAAGAUCAAAGUAUCGAUUUUAUUAGCGAAAUAUUAUCCUUUCAUCUGAGCGAUAUGUGAUGUCCCUUUUGGGGUAAUUUUGAAUGGAUUUGAUCGUUUUUAUUUAUCUUGAGAUAUGUUUGAGAUAGAAUAUCACAGGGUUAUUUGCAUAUUUAGGCAAAGCAUUCUAUUUAUCAUGAAUUUUCAUCGGGUUAGAUUAGAUGCAUGUUAGGAUAUUACUUGUUUUAGGGUUUGCAUAUUUAGAAUAGGAAUUUUAAUUUCAUGAAAAAUACAAAAAAUGUCAUAGGUUAAAUUAGUUUUAUUAUUUAUGAUAAAAUGCAUUCUUUUAGGAAAAAGAAAAAAUGUCAUAUGCACAUCAUUAGGGCUAGAUUCACUGGGAUGCAUGUCAUUUAGUAUUUUUGCUAGGCCUAUUUAAUUAGAAAUUGCAUGUCAUUAGAAUUAAGUCAUUUAGUUAAUAUUGCAUUGCAUAUUGCAUGAUUUUCAUUAAAAAAGUGAAAACAAAUAAAAAAGGAAAUUGCGUGUUAAUUAGAAACCAUAUCUAGGGUUGUUGAUGUGGUUUUUAACUUAACAUUGCAGAUGCUUUCGUUGCUUUGAGGUAAGUGUUUGCAAUUUAUUUAUUGUUUAUCUUGGUGUUAAAUUGGUGGUUUGUGCACGCGUAUGGUAACCUCACAUAUUAGGGAAAUAGAUUUAAAAUAAACCCAAGCUGCUUGCAAAAAACAUUUUUUCAAAAUAAAAGAAAUGGUACCGAAAGGGCGUUAGAGAAAUUUAGCGUAACCAAGUCCCCGUACCCAAAUCUCUGGUCGGUAGGAAUAAAGUAAAUCUCCCGUUACUUUAUUUGGGUUUCUAAUCGACCCACAAAAAAAUAGAUUAGUGGCGACUCCUGAUUGAAAAUCAUUUGCAUGUUAAGAGCUUGAACCUAAGUCGCGAAUUGGUAUGGGCUUGGGAGAGCCCGAGUUAAGUCUAGGCUUAACAAUCCAUUAGCCAAAACCCUAGGUGGUUCAAACCCCGAAAAAAUAUGUCGCGACACUGCUAUUGCUGGUUGCUGUGGGUAAUUAGCUGUGGGUAGUAAUAGAAAUUUAAUGUAACUUCAUAGAAUUGAUUUUGCAUAAGACAAUUAUAUUAAUAAUAAUUUUGAGUUAGGAUUUUUGGAGGAUGAUUGGAAACAUAGUGACCUUUUGAUUCUGAAACCUUACUUGAAAUUAUUCAUUGAUAUAAUGGGUCUGUGCAAAUAGGGAUGCAUAAAUGAUAGGCAUUAAUUAUUCGUGCAUGUAUGUCUGAUGUGUUUAGAAUGAUGGUUCGGCAACUAAGAAUGUAAUUGCUGAUAUGAACGGCUACAAUUGUGAAAUAUUGAAUAUGAAGAUUCAAUAUGUGCUGGAAAAGCAAGAAGCACUAGAAGCUCUUGACCAUANNNNNNNNNNNNNNNNNNNNNNNNNNNNNNNNNNNNNNNNNNNNNNNNNNNNNNNNNNNNNNNNNNNNNNNNNNNNNNNNNNNNNNNNNNNNNNNNNNNNACCGCUUAACGGCAUGUGAGCUGAGAUAGAUAUUGCAAUGAUGGUCUAGCUCAUAAAGGGUUUGAGCUCUAAGCGCAAGUGUAUUGAUUCGUUCAAUAUGUGGGAAUGCAAAGGAUCAAGCCCUUAUUGCAAGAGAUCAAGAGUUAACCAACAUAAGAGAGGAAAACGUCCUCAAGUGAAGAAAAUGUCAAGGGUGAAAUGUUACAACUAUGACAAGAAGGGUCACUAUGCCCGCGACUGUCGUGAGCCAAAGAAGGUAAACACCUCUUGUACAUUUGAGAACUUUGAUUAUGUGUCAAGUUCUGAAUUAUUGGCUGAAUCCAAUCCUUUGUGGACUGUAGAUUCAGGAGCAACAGACGAUGUAGCGAAGGAUAAAGGAUCAUUCGUGGAAUUCCGACGAAUACCACCUGGCAUUGAGUGGAUCUAUGUGGAAAACAACUCCAAAGCUGAAGUUAAAGGGAUUGGCACUUGCCAACUGAACAUGUGUGGUGGACGCAACCUGUUCCUACAUGAUGUUCUAAAUGCUCUAGAGAUUCGUUGAAAUUUAAGUGUCUGUUUUGAUGUUGGUUAAGCUUGGUUUUAGUGUGAACUUUCAUAAUAACGGUGUAGAUUUGUAUUUGGAUACAAACUACUAUGAUUGUGGUCACUUUCUGGAUGAUUUUAUUGUACUGAAUGUUGACUGUGGUGAUGUCAAUAUGUUAUUCCCUUGUUUCACGUCUUUUACUUCAUGUGAUAAUGAUGUAAAUGUGCGGCAUGCUAGACUUGGUCAUAUUGGCCAACAUAUGAAUAGACUAGCCAAGGAGGACUUGUUGGGCAAUAUUGAAUAAAUCGAUUUGUCCAUAUGUAAGCAUUGCCUAGAAGGGAAAACGACAAGGAAACCAUUUGGAAAAGGUAAAAGAGCUGACGUUUCUCUGCAUUUAAUCCAUUAUGACGUUUGUGGUUCAAUGAAUGUGAGAGGAAGGCAUGGGACUGUUUACUUCAUCACUUUUAAUAUAUGAUUAUACUCGAUUCGGAUGUGUCUAUUUGAUUUCUCAUAAAUCUUAAGCAUAAGUUGUUUCAAAGGGUUUAUGAACUUGGUAAAAAAUCAAUUAGACAAGAAAAUAAAAGUAUUGAGAUCCGAUCGAGGUCGAUAAUAUUUAUCUGAUGAGUUCAGAAAAUUAUGUGGUGAAAAGGAAUAGAAAUACAGUUGUCUAUUCCAUAUACUCCUCAACAAAAUGGUGUUGCAGAGAGAAGAAACAGAACCCUACUAGAAAUGGUUAGGUCCAUGAUGGCGUAUACUAACUUACAUAUCACUUUUAUGGAGUGAUACGUUAUUAACUGCUGCCUAAAUACUUAACCGGGUGCCUUUCAAAUCAGUUAGUUCCACUCCAUAUAAGUUAUGGAUAGGUAGAAACCGGACUUAAGUUUACUUAAGCCAUGGGGUUUUGCUACCUAUACUCAUAUGUCCUCUCACAAGUUUGGAAAAUUGAGUCCCAGAUAAAAGUAGAGUAUUUUAAUGAGAUACUCCGAACACUCGAAAGGGUAUGUGUUCAUAGGUGAGCAGGAAAGUGGGAGAAUAACUGAAUUUUGAAUCACGGGAUGUCACAUUCUUAAUGGAUGAAUUUCCUAAGAAGGGCGAAAUAGGGGAAGAUUACUUCCUAUUUGAAACCUUGGAUCAAAAUAAUGAUAUCAGUGGAGUUCGUCCAAGUGGGAGUAAUAUGAGAUGUGAUGAAUUGAAUUCAACUCAUUCUCAAUUGCAACCACCUGAUGUGACGACAUCAUCAUUACCUAAUCCAAGUGGGAGCAUAAUGGGGAAUGAUGUGCUAAGUGUACAAUUUCCCUUACGAUGAACAAGUCGCCAAAGUAUUCCCCGUCGACGUUUUGACAUUGAAUGGGGAAACUUUUAUGAUUGCUCCGUAAAAUAAGGAUGAGCCGAGAAAUAUUAAUGAGGCUCUUAAUUGCCCUAGUAAGGAAAAAUGGAUUAAUGCAAUGAAAGAGGAAAUGGAGUCAAUGAAGUCAAACCAAGUCUAGGAACUGGUUGAUCUUCCAAAAGGACACAAAGCCAUUGGGAACAAGUGGGUUCUUAAAAUAAAGCAAAAGGCUGAUGGCUCGAUAGAAGGCAUAAGGCUCGCCUUGUGGCAAAGGGGUAUAAUCAACAGGAAAGAAUUGAUUAUGUAGAAACAUUCUCUCAUGUAGUGAGAUUUACCUUGAUUUGCAUAAUUCUGGCAAUAGUGUUUGGUAUGGAUCUUGAGUUACAUCAAAUGGAUGUAAAGACUGCUUUCCUCAAUAGAGAAUUAGAGGAAGAAAUAAAUAUGGAACAACCUGUUGGUUUCAUAGUAAAAGGCUAAGAAGAAAAGGUAUGUCGACUUUGGGGGUCGAUAUACGGCCUUAAGCAGUCGUCAAGACAAUGGUUUAUACGAUUUCAUAAUGCCAUAAUAACAUAUGACCUUACAAUGAUAGAUGAUGAUCAUUGUAUAUAUAUCAAAAUAUCCAAGGAUCAAUUUGUGAUCAUAUCAUUAUAUGUUGAUGAUAUACUAAUUGCCGGAAGCAAUAUGGAGCUAGUUAAUACUGUCAAAAGUUGGUUGUCUUCCAAAUUUUGAAUUUAAUGAUAUGGGAUUGUAAACCCAUUGACACUCCUAUUGCAGAAUGUGAAGGAUUGAGCCAUAAACUGUGUCCAAGGACUCCACAAGAGAAGGAACAAAUGAAACAUGUUCCUUAUGCUAGUGCUGUUGGAAGCUUUAUGUAUGAUAUGAUGUGUACAAGACCUGACAUAUGUUUUGCAGUUGGAAUGGUGAGUAGUUACCAAUCCAAUCCAGGUCAAGCACAUUGAUAAGCCGUUAAGAGAAUACUGAGAUAUCUAAAGGGAUCUGCUGAUUAUAUGCUGAGUCAUUGAGGAAAGGAUCUGCGACUCUAAAGCUAUUAUGAUGCUAAUUGAGAAGGAGAUUUAGACGAAAAAAAAUCUACCUCUGGGUUUGUUCUUUUACCGAAUAAUGGCACCAUAUGUUGGAGCAGUAAGAAACAAAAGUGUAUAGCCUUGUCCAUGAUGGAAACUGAGUUCGUGGCAUUAUCAGCAGCAGUAUAAGAAGAUGUUUGGCUUAAGAGAUUAUUGGAUCAUUUAGGUGUUAUUGGAAGUGCUACAGAUUUGUUAUUAGUUAAUUAUGAUAAUCAAGCAGCAAAAGUGUACACUAAAGAUCCAAAUAUCAUGGCAAGACCAAACAUAUAGAUACCAAGUAUAAUUUUGUCAAGGAUAUGGUUGCACGAAAGGAUGUGAACUUAGAGUACAUACUACGCAUAGAAUGGUAGCAGAUCCUAUAAUAAAGCCAAUACCUAGAGAUGUGUUUUGUGGCCAUGUGAAAUCUCUAGGAUUGCAUAGAGGAUAAUGUACUGAAUAUUGUAAUUUCCCUAAAAUUUCACAUUUGAUGAAUUUGUGUUUUCAUCAUUAAUGCCUAUGAAUCUUUAUUUUCAUCAUUAAUACCUAUAAUUUUGUCAAGGAUAUGGUUGCACGAAAGGAUGUGAACUUAGAGUACAUACUACGCAUAGAAUGGUAGCAGAUCCUAUAAUAAAGCCAAUACCUAGAGAUGUGUUUUGUGGCCAUGUGAAAUCUCUAGGAUUGCAUAGAGGAUGAUGUACUGAAUAUUGUAAUUUCCCUAAAAUUUCACAUUUGAUGAAUUUGUGUUUUCAUCAUUAAUGCCUAUGAAUCUUUAUUUGAUCUUUAUGCAUCUUAAUGCUUAGUACGUUACAUUUAGUUGAGAAAGUAUGUUGGACAGAUAUAAGAUUAGCCCACUCACGCGGGUAAUCGCCCCUAUUUACUGUGUGAUAAAUAGAGAUGAGACUGUUUUUAAGCUUAUUAUCUAGGUGAUAAUCGAGAGCUCAAGCUUAAAACACGUAUGUCACCUUAACUAAGUGUUAAGAUGAGGACAUGAUACUUACUAUGUCCGAAAGUAAAAUACCCCACAUAUUUUACUUUAUCUGUCUAUGAUGCCAGAUGUGAGUUCUGAUGAAUUUUGUAAAUGAGUAGAUACGUGAACUCAAGUUAGACAUUGGGUAUGUCUGAACUAUCAUCUGUGCGGUAUUGAAAGGCGUAGACAUACGCUCCAUGGGAAAUGAGUUAAUACCGUAAUACGUAUUUCAUACUACGUAUGCAUGAGACGACCAAUAAGAGUGGCAAAAGUUUGAUCUCAACUUUUUAUGUCGUGUGAGACUCUUGAGGAAAAGAGUUCCUCAAUUUCUUAGUCCCCUCAUGACUCUUACUUAUUUUCAAGAUUUCUAUUUAGUGUUUGCUAUCUUAGGAUGUUGCCAAUGGUCAUGAGUGAUUCGAUCUAAUGGGGCAUUUCUAGAAAAGCAAGCUGAACUGAAAUUGAGAGUUUGAAGGAAAGAGGAAGACCGAUUUUGGAGAAUCACAUUGUAGUUUUGUAUUCACCGGUUAACCAAUUAUGAUUGCCUUUGUGAUAAUCAUAAUUGUGAAUACAAUAUAUAUAUAUAUAUAUAUAUAUAUAUAUCAUUGUUUGAAAGAGAUCAAGAGAGAUAUAAAUGUGAUCAAUCGAUCUAGGGUACUGCAUACUAAAUCUACUCGGAGUGUGAUGCCCAUUAUGAGCUGCUAUAUAUUCCUAACAGAUGUAUGGCAACGAGCUCUCAAAGUAUGCUGGUCGCACGGAUUAUUCACCGGUAUGAAUGUUGAAGAGAGGAAAAGAGGAUUCUGUUCAGCCCACCAUGUUAAGUGAGAGUCUAUGAUGGAUUUUCUCUGAUGGGGAUGAGUAGGGCCUGUCCGCCCAUGUUGGUUUUGGACCACCAUGUGCGAGUGGGAGAUGAUGGAUUUAUGAGAUGGGCUUAAGGCCCGUCCACCCAAGUUUGGCCGAAAAGGCCCGGCCCACGGGAAUAGGGCCCGUGGAGGGGGAAGGUAUAAAAGGGAGGAGAGAGAGAGAGAGAGAGAGAGAGAGAGAGAGAGAGAAGAUAACGUUGUUUUGGAUGAACGUACGUCUUCUUCUCUCCAACGCUCUCUCCGCCCUUAAGACAGAACAGUAAGGCAAACGGCACGUUCUUCUUCCCUUCAAGGCGCCAUCGGAUCGAACAGGACCAGAAUUUAUGCUCGAUCAUCAGCAUUGGUGUUUAAUCUGUGGCUAACAAGGUACGCUCGACUCCGUGGUGUGCUUUACGAUCGGUGAUAUGUGUUUUCCCAUGCUUCGUCUUCCGCAUUGAUUUAGGGGUUCGAUUUAGUGUCGAAUCCGGUUUUUCGGGGAUCAGUCAUUCCCAACAUUAGCAUCAACACAAGGUUCUACUUCGGCCUGUAGUACAGGUCCUGUAUAUGGCUCCGACUAAAAGAAGCCUAUAUUUAUUAUUGCCGAUCAGAGAUCGACGGCGUCCCAACACAACUCGCAUCCCCAUUUUAAGCUACAGCUAGGAGCAGGUCAUCCGCUACGCAGUUUCUUGCUGAGCAUGUAUCUGAAGGGAGGGUGAGUAUACCUCCCAUUCAGAAACAUGUCGACGAUCACCCGAUACGUGGCUUCCGUGAGAUGGACUCCGUCCCAGUUGAUGUACUCCGAGGGAUGAGGGCACACGUUGGUGAACGCCAUGCCGCAUGUCGCGAACGGAGUGAAGUGAUAGGGCUUUCCGGUACCACAGCAUGCCCGGAAGGGCUCCUUGAAACCGUGCUUGGCCGCAAACUUCAUGAUAGAGUGGUGUGCGUACCAGUAAUCGGCGUAGACGAUCACCGCAUCAGGGAACUGCUUCCUAAGGUUGGAAAUCGUGGCCUGGAGCGCGGCAUUAUGCGCGCGGGUUUGGUCGUUCGCGCUCUUCACGCAGCCUAGGUCGUCUUUCUCGCCCACGGGGUCCAAAUACAUGGCCAGCGGCAAGCAACCCGACAGCGGUAGGCCUUGGACCACCAUGUACUUCGCCCCCCGCCUCAGAAACGACUGCAAAGCGACUGCAAAGCAAAUCAUAUCAUUGUGAAGUUACUUGCGACGGAGAAAAUGGGUGUCAGAUCGAUACUUUGGAUGAUGUUAUCGACAUUGACCAAUCUCACCACGGUCCAACCGAAAAUUCGAGCGCUUAUUUAAUGUAGGCCGAUUUUUCUACAGUAGAUGCAUUUAUGAUCAGCCCACCUAAGUUGGUCGAACUGAGCUAUUCGACUCGAAGCUUGCUCUCUAAAAUAUUACCAUUCAUUGGUGAACAUCCAUAUGUACGAACGGACAAAACCCGACAAUUACCUUCUUGAGUUCGGAAUCGACAAAUCUCUACAAGGUUAGCGUGAUUCGAUUACUUCUCUAAACAGUUGACAAUUAAGCUAGAUCUACGACUCAAAAAUAUAUACACGGACCCACAAAAUACCACCCUAAAUAAUGCGAUUUUAAACUGACACUAAGCACCUGGACAGACAAGCCUCGGCAAUAAUUGCAAUGGCUAGCAACUGGACAAACGAGAUCUAGUGACCUCAUCAAAGCCUAGGCUCGACGAGGUUGGCCAAGGUCAAGUCUCACCCAGCCAUGACGAGACUCAUGCUGAUGACUGGUUAGAGGAGGGAGAAGAUGAGAAAUAUAAAAGAAAAAUCUUGUAAAAUUAAUUAAAAAUUAAAAUAAAUUCUAAAUCACAAAAAAAAAUGAGUGUGUGACAUCCUGAUUUUUUCAUAUCUGAUUUCAAUUGAAUAAAUCGAGCCUUUCGUCGACGCGUCUAUAGUGCUAUUCUCUGAGCCGAUCACUCAAGAGAUAACUAGACUAUCUGGGAAAAUCAUUAAGGGAUUUUAACGCAAAAGGCUUGAGAAUUCGACUAGAAAUCGACUGCUCGACCGUGCUAAUUUGCAAGGGUCAUUACGGAACACUUAAAAAUCGAUCAGAGAUCAGAGAUAGGUCGAUUCGAUUAAGAUAAGUGAUUAGGUCGAUUCGAUUAAGAUGAGUGAUCAAAAUGUGGGUGAUUCCACAUGAUUGCAAAAUUCUCAUCAAUCGGUACUAAAUUAAUUUUCUAUCGUUUUGGGUACCCUGUGUCUGUAUUUGAAACCUUGAGAUUUUCACGAUAAUCGAGAGCCGUCAAUAUGUCGAAGAUGUACAUUGUGACUUGAGAUAAAUCGAUCACGGGUCAAUUGCACUCAAAAUUCCUAAAAGCUACCUGAUAUAUUAGAUCACGCUAAAAGCGCGCCAGAUUGAAAAUAACAGUGAAUUUGAACCCGAUUUCAAAAAUUAAAAGUUCUGUGGUGUCACGAGCUAUUUGAGGAACGUCGACUCAUUCUCCGAAGAAUUUUCAGAGAUUCCGGGAUUUUUGCGGAAAAUCGAAUCGGACGUUGCGGAAAAAUUAGCGAAAAUUUGUACGGGGCAAAUUAAAGGAAAUUUGGACUUCCAAGCUAAGCCUUUGAGUGUUGAGGACUUGCAGAAAUUUGUACGGACUUUUUCUCCGAGGAAAUUGGACAUCAAAUAUGGGGAAUUUGUCAAAGAUAUCGAAGUCCGAAAAUUGAAAAUUCGGAGCCUUGGAAGGAGCUGGAAUUUUGGCUUCAAAUUUUGAUAAUUUGUGGGGUUUUAAUGUGGAGAAAGUAUUUGGGGGACAUUGAGAUAUUUAUGCAAGUUUAAAGGAGACCAAGCAUUGAAUUAAAGGGAUAAGUUUGAUGAUUUUGGGCCCCCUUCCUUGGCUUCCUCUUCACAGCUUCUCGAUCCUUUUCUUUUUUUUCUUUGUUACCGUUUUCCCUCAUUUCCGUCGAAGACCGCAACUUCAUCCCCUUCAAUUCUCUCUCUCUCUCCAUUUAUUUCUCUCACGACAGCAUCCCCUUAGCUUGUUUCUUCCUCCACCAAAGUUUCAUUUCCUCUCCAUUUAAGCGGCCACCGAAUCCUCCCCCACUCACCCACGCCACUUGCCAAUUUCCUAGCUCACCUCGGUCAACCAUCAACCAUGGAAGCCCUCGGUUGACCGCGUGCAGUUCACGCCCAAGCGUCCAGCAGCACCGAAGCCCACCGAAUCUGCUUGCUUUCAUCUCCUGCGAAGACCUUCGAUUUUGUUGAUUGAAGCAGCGUCCUCCGAAGAAGCAAGCUGCCUUCUUCUUCUUUUGGUUUUGGUGAGCUGUCCAGCAGUCCAAAGUUCCCUGCCCCUUUCGCUGCCACCGAAGAUCAGCGAAGCUCCUUAAGCUCACUUCAUCUCACCGAACCGAAGCGACCACGUCUCCAGCGAAUUUCGUGAGCCCAUCUUUGUGUAAGCCGCAGUCCAUCUUCAGCAAAUUUUCAGGCCCAUAGAAUCAUCAGCCUUAGCUUAGGAAAUUUCAGUCCAGCAGCCCAUCUUGAAGUCAGCGCAGUUCAGCCCACACAAAAUCCCAGCCCAACUCAGCCCAGUUCGCAAUUGUUUCAGCAAGGCCCAGCAGCUCCUUUAAUCCCAAGUCCAGCAGCCCAUCUUGAAGCUAUCUCAGUCCAGUGAAGCCUGGCCCAUUUCAGCAACAAAUCUCAGUUGGGCUGAGAUUUGUUGGGCCCGUUUUAGGCCCUGUUCGAGAGUUCGCCGACACUGCCGAAAAUUGAAAUUUCGGCCGCCGUCGCGGUGAACCGAUUUUCGCGAUGCACCAGUGAGUUUAUACUCUAAACUCUGCUUAGUAGGUUAAUGACAUUUAAGGGGUGUUUAGAUUUAUUUUAUUAGGAAUUAGAUAGUUAGUUAGAUUAAAUUAGAAAUGUAAUUAUUUAAUUGAGCAUGUUAGGUGGUUAGAAUGGUUUAGCUAAGGCCUAAAUAAAUUGUACUAUUUAUCUAGAAGGGUUCGGGAAUUUUCCGGGUCCGUUUUGGUAUUUAAUUUAAUGAUUAUGGCUUAGGUUAGAAUUUUUAGAAUUUAAAUUGAUUUAUUUAAUUAAUUUCAGUAAUUAUUUAAUUAUUAAUUAUUUUUCCGGAAAUUAGGCCAAGAUGGCCAGUGACCGGAAUUUCGUGCUAAUUGCAAUGGUGUGGUUAAUUUCUGUAAUUGAGUGUUAAAUUAUGCAAAUUGAGUGCUGAUUGGAUUUUUGGUAUUUAAUUCCAAAAAUUAUAAAUUUCCGAUAUUUAUUCAGAAAAUCCCGGGUGUCGGGUUUUAACACCGAAAAUAGUUUUUAGUACUAUAUAAAAUAGUGGGAUUCCAAAAAGGAUGAAUAUCAAUUUUUCUGGAUCAAGUUGACCAUGUAUCCACACACGAGAAAUUUUAUAUGAAUUUCAAAUCUCGACAAAAAAGGCCAGGCUCACCAUUUUAAUUGAAGCAUUUGAGUGCAAUGCACGGUGCCCUGGGCCAUAUUCGAGUGAUCGUGUGAUGGUUAAGAGAAAUCGUCCCGGGCUGUUGAGCUGGACGUUAUCCCUAUUUGGGAUACCCCCUGGACAACGGGAAGCCGUCGCAGUUGAUUUUGGACCCUAUGCUCCUUCAGGAAAGCCGUCUGAUAAAGAGACGUGCCGUGCUCAAUGGGGUGAGACGAUGCCUGGCAAUGCCAGAAGACUGCCGAACUGAGAGUAGACCGUGCUAUAUGCCAAGAUCAAAACUAGGAACGCGUGAUUAAUUGAGUGUGGCGUUUCAAUUAUUGGAGCUUAUUUAUUGCUCAUGCUCUCAUGUUGUCCGUGAUAUAAAUUGUACUGACCAGCAGGGUGAAUUUAAGACGAGGUAAGUCUCCUUGAUUGUGUGAUUAUGACACUUCUUGGCAUAUUUCCCUCCUAAUUGGGGUUUAAAGCUUAGACUUGCUGAGAUGAUAUCUCACCCCGUUAUGGGACAACAUUUUCAGGGUCGUCAAGUGGAGGACCUGGAGUUGAGAGGAGGUGAUCGGAAGCGUAGGUCAGUUAGAACCGCUUCUUUUUGGAAGGCCAGUCUUUUGUAAUCUUUUGGCCAUAGACCUGUGUACAUGACUUAGUGUAUAUAUAAAAGCAUGUUUGUUUGUGAAUCUAUUAUCCUGCUUUUCUAUCCCAAGAUGAUUACUGUCAUGGGAUUUCUUUUCGCUUCCGCAUGUGUAAUAAAAUGGAAAGGGUCGGCGACUCGUCCUAGGAAGUCGCAAAUUAUUAUCGACCAGAUAGGAUGGGCACGCGCUCGGAGUCGAGGGCGUGAUAGAGUGUCAUGACAAAUACAUUUUUAUUCUCUAUUUGAUAAUAUAAAUUUUGUGUAGAUGUAUUAAUAUCCAUUAUAUUUCUGUGAAUAAUUUCUGCUUAUUUUUUUUUUAAUUUAGUUUUCUGGACAAGUUUCCGAAUAUUUAAAUACAUCUAAUAAUUAUAUAAAAUUUCUAUUUUCGGAGUAAAAAAAGAACAUGAAUGCAUUUGACACAACUCUUAAAUUUUUUUGUGACAUAAAAUUUCUAAUAAUUUUUUUUUAUAAUUUUAUGAGAUUUUUCUUCUUUUUUUUCCUCCUCUUCUUCUUCCUCAUGUAACUCGGACCUCCCCUCAAUGAUGGCCGCAAUAGGCCAGACAAAAGUCAACAAGGUCACCAACUAUUGCCAAGCCUAACAAUCGACUAGAGGAGGAGAAAAAAGAAAAGAAUAAAAAAGAAAAACAAAGGAAAGUGACUUGAUUCUAGAAUUUAUUCAAGAGUAUAAAAUUAGUUGAUAUUAUCAAAUAAAUUUUCAUUCUUUUUCUGAAAUCUAAUUAACUGGUCUAUCGUAAUAGUUUAGCUCAGGUACGGAAGCACGGGAGCAGAGCCGAAGCCAGAGAGCUUUAUUAAUUCCGUCACGGGAGCUCUAUCUCCAUGUGCUUUUAUCAUUUACUCCAUGGGAAACCUGAUCACGUUCGUCCGUCGGUUUUCCAAAGUAUCAACUUACUUCGAGAAAAGCGGUGACGGUACCGAUGGCGAGCUUCCCGAUGGUAUCGCCGUAGACGGUGAUCCCGAGGGAGUAGGCGUAGUCGUUGACACCGAUCUCGCCCACCCACACCAGUGCGUCCUACAGCGCGCCCCGGCACGCCUUUCUCCAGGUACUUGCUGAAGCAGAGGAGCUGCGUCAGGAGCGACUGCGGCGUCGCGUCCAGGUUCAGGUUGUUCUUCACGAAGAACUCGUGGUCGAUGGCCGUCGAGCCCGUGACUGCGAAGUUGACGCCGUGGGUGGCGGCAGUGGUGGCAGGGAGGAGGAGAUGUUGCGGUAGGGGGGAAGGAAGGGGAGGGAGAGGGACUGGGCCACGAAGUCGAUGCCGAGGUGGCUGUCGGAGUAGCGGUUUGUAGGGCGGUGGAAGAAGGUGACGCCGUAGUGGGGGUCGGAGACGUGGCCGAAGCCAAAGAGCUCUUAUUUUUUAUUUUUUAUUUUUGGUAAAAAGGAGCUCUUAUUUUGUGAAUGGACAAGUAGCGAGACAUCUCCUCACAUAGGAAACAAUACAACUGAUGAAUAAGAAGACAUCAUACCAAACCAAGCAUACAGAAAAUUAUUUCUCACAUCUUUAUGAAAUCAUAAAGAGUAGAGGACCUCUAAAGGUAUUGACUAAGAAACCGUCAACCAACCUCACUUCUCUGAGAGUGUCAUAGAAGCCGCCAAAAACAAUGAUUUUGUGUUUAUACAAAACCUGUAAAAAAGCAAGAUGGAUAGAAAAACAGACGCGCAUGAGUUAACGGGAGAUAACUAUACAUGAAGGACAAAGACAGCUAUGAGGCCACCGAUGAGAUUACCAUUCUAUGACCUGAACGCGGGCCAGGACAACCUCUCAGAUUAAGUUGUUCCCACUGAUUUGUCUUGAGGUCCAACAUCCAAAAGUCCUAAAAAGAAAGUUCGAUCAUAGAUCAACAUAACUCACAACUUAAAAGGUAUUACUUUUGGACUCUUCAACUAUCUUCCUCCAUUCAGCAUAUUGCGAAGCUUCCUCAUAUGUGGAUGGUUCUAUGGCUCCAUCUUCAAUUGCUUCUCUUGCUGUGACUUUCCAUUGAGUUUUGUGAUUCUUGAAUUUUUGCAAUGCCAAUUCAUUCUACCAUUUAGUCUCCUUUUCCUUCUUCUCACCCAACUUGGUCUUCGUAUUCGACAUAUCUCCUAUAAGAAUUUUGAGAUUGGAACUCAUUUGAUCAAGCCUCUCAUUUGUGAUUUUCAUUUCGUGCUUCAACCGAUUCAGUCCCAUCCGAAGCACUUUAGUGGAGAUAUCUUGAUCAUUUUUCUCAUAAAAUUUCUUCUCCUCAAUCUUAUUCCACCUAUCCUUGCACCAUGGGAUGUAGGGUGUAGAUGGCCUCCUUUCCUAAAAAAAAACCUUUCUUCUUCUCCUUCAUGUAUUUGAUAUCUCUCUCAGUAUGACCAAUUGGGAACAUCAUAGCGGGCUUGAGAUCUUGAAGCUUCUGCAGCUUCUUGAACUCACAUCGAAACUUCUCUAGCUCCCUAUCUUUUGCCUUGAGCUCUCGAUCCUUUUGCCUUAUCAUCUCAUCCCUUUUCUUCAACAUAUUCUCCAUCUUUGCCUUCUCAACUUUCAGCUUAUUUAUCAUAUCUUGCAUCUUAUGCAGUUCCUUUUCACGACUGCUUGUUGGCAUUGUUAGUUGCUUCUUCAAAUUCUCCCUUGGCUUGCUCUUAUUCGGGGUCGUGAUGGAACCUAUCGAAUUAUCCAACUCAACUAUACAAGCUGUUGCAAGCUCUUCUCGUUCCUUCAUUGCAACAAGCACUUGAAACCAUUCUUCUUCACUUUCAAUCUCCUUCUUGCAAGAAGUGACAACAUUUCCUUCUUCCUGCCUGUACCAACAGAAUCAGGCAAUAUGUCCUACCUUACCACAAACGUAGCACCGUUUGCUACACCUUUUGUUGCUCUUGUCUUCAUCGUCAUCGUCGUCACGAUCUUGAUGAGCUCCCCCUGGCUUAUAACCCUUCUCUUCUGGUUGCCUUCGCCAAUCUCCAUGAUUUUUCCAUGGUUUGCCAUCUCUUGCACCUGCUCUAUUUCUAUUUUGACCCUUGAACCCUCUUUUAUUACUAAAGAGGGCACUACUUAGGGAUUUGUUUAUCUAAGGCCUCUUGAUUGGCCAAUAUAUUUUCCAACUCAAUUAGAGUUGGCUCAUUUGCCCAUCCACGGGUGGCCGUAACGAUACCGUUAUACUCCGGCCUUAACCCAUGAAUUAUUAUUCUUCUCAUUCUUGUCUCAGAGAUGGCAUUUUGAGGAUCUAAUUUUGAAAUUUCUUUACAAAUAGAUUUAACUUUAGAAAAGUAUUGACUUACUGUCAUACUUUGUUGCGAGAUUGAGGGGGUUCGUUCUCCAGGCAUUGUAACUUGACAUCGUUUGUCCUCGCAAACAGCGUCGCUAAGUUAUCCCAGGCCUCCUUCGAGGUCUUCGCGCUCUUUAUGUGUUGCAAUAAUUCAUCUUCAACAAUCACAGCAAGAACGUAAAGAGCCUUACCUGACUUGACGUUCCACUUUCUUAAAUCACUAUCAUUUGUGGGUGGUGUGGUGUUGUUGUCACCAACGAUAUCCCAUAAAUCUUGUCCAAGCAAAUAAUACUACAGGUACUCCAAUUAUUAUAAUUGAAGUCGUUGAGCUUCUCCAUCCCAUUCACCGAACUCGAGAAAUCCACUAUGGUGACUUGAGUAUAAUGCCCCGCACUAUACCAAGUAAGCCUGGUCCUAGACCAACCGACUUCACAUUCCCAAAUUGUGCAUUGGCAAAACUUUGACGUACUCCACUCCUUGGCUCGACGAGCCUGACAGCCUUGCUUACUUACAAUGGUCCCCGACCACCGUCUUCACACAGUCUCCAACGACAUGCUCUCAUACCACUUGUUGAGAAGUAAGUGAAUGUAAAAAUAAUUACUUUUAUUAUAAAACAAUAUUUCAACUCUCUAUUUUAUCAUCCUCUCACAACAACUCAUUGUACUUGCUUACCCAUUCCCUCACAAGCCUCACAAGGACACAACUCUCGCACACACCCACUUACUCUCUAUUUCUCUACCCUUCACGCCACCUACUCCACUUCACACACACACAACACCCCUCACACUUACUUCACACACGUACACACUCAAGGGGCAAGAACCCCUAUUUAUAGGGUGUAAAGUCGGUGAGAAAAAUCUGGAGAGAGGGGGAGAGAAAAGUCUGGAGAGAGGGAGAAAAAAUCUGGUGCAGUAGAGAGAGGGAGAGAAAUCUAGAGAAAUCCAAAGAGAGAGAGAGAGAGAGAGGCGGUGCCUUUUUCUUCUGACAGUGACAUCUCAGUUGCAAUACGUGGCAAAUACUAUGAAGGUUUUGGCAUAAACAAAGCCGCAUGUGUGUUACCUUAUAGUGGUGGAAGCGUUCUUGAUUUGCGGAUGUAAACUCACCACCUAACAAGAAGUUGCCGAAGUUAAUCGUGUUAUGCAAUGGAUAUUGCGCCAGCAAGUAAACACCGGUGGAGCAAGACUAAUAAACUCACCAAAUAUAUACAGAUAAUUUUUCCAAGCAACUGCCUGAUGAGCAGCGCAAGGAGGUGGACGACUAUUGGGACUGGAGAUCAACUUCCACGCCUGCCUCUCCACGUCAUACCGGUAAAGAUCACCGUACACAAAAGUCUGCGCCAUUUUGAAACCGGGGUCGUGACCAAAAAAAUGAGCCAAGCUCGCGGCAUAAACAUAAGCACUCCAUCAACUAUUCUCAACGCCUCACCUUGGUGCCAUUGUAAAACUCGCCGCCAUAAAAAAUCAGCUCCGUAUCUUUCAAAGGAUUCAGCGUCAUCUACAGGAGUUAACAGUACCAUUACAAAAACUAAUCAAUCACACAAUUCAGGCAAGCCACCAUAAGGUGAGUAAACAAAAUGGCACGCAGCGAGAGCCGAUAAAGAGAGUCAUUACCGUGCAAUUAGAUCGUGGAGAAGGCGCCGGUACAUUUUCCUCAAUGUGGACCUCCUUCUUCUUCGCUUCCUCUUUUUGUAUGCUUAGCUGGUCAGUAGGGGUGCAAACAAGUCAAUUCGAGCUUAACAAGGAGAAAGCAGCCAUGUCUAAUCUUAAAUCAAGAACAUAUAUUGCAGUUUCAAAGAUCAAAUUAUCGUCGUAAUCUAUGGGAAGCAAUUGAAUUUCUCAGUCCACUAGUGACACGCGACAAGACUCGGUCUUUCACGUUUUUUUUUCCUAGAAACAGAGGAUAGACAGCACCAUCGGUAUUUCUCAAAUCCUAAGUUUCGGACACAAAAAAGAGGUUUUGCGAUGGACUGCAUCGUCCCGGCAGAUAAACAUCCGGCGAGGCGGUUAAAGCGGGAGCAGCAUCAUACGAGGAUGGCGUCGAUGUCGUCUUCAGGGGAGAUCUUCUUGGUGUCCCGGCGAGCUCUCUUCUCCUCCGCCUUGGCGGUUUUCCUCACCGUUUUCUCCUUCCCCUUUCCCGGUGUUGGGAAUUACUGAUCCCCGAAAUACCGGAUUCGACACUAAAUCGAACCCCUAAAUCAAUGCGGAAGCGAAGCCCGGGAAAACACGCAUCACCGAUCGUAAAGCACACCACGGAUUCGAGCGUACCUUGUUAGCCACAGAUUAAACACCAAUGCCGAAGAAGAGGAAGAAAUUCUGGGCCCGUUCGAUCCGAUGACGACUUGAAGGGAAGGAAAGCGCGCCGUAUGCUUACUGCCUUUUCUUUUUGGGUGAGAGAGAGCGUGAGAAGAGAAAAGACGUACGUUUAUCAAAACGUUGUCUUCUCUCUCUCUCUCCUCCCCUUUUAUACCUUCCCCCUCCACGGGCCCUAUUCCCGUGGGCCGGGCCUUUUGGGCCCAGCAUGGGCGGAUGGGCCCUAAGCCCAUCUCAUAAAUCCAUCAUCUCCCACUCGCACAUGGUGGUACAAAACCAACAUGGGCGGACAAGCCCUACUUAGCCUCAUUUGAGAAAAAUCCAUCAUAGACUUUCUCUUAACAUGGUGGGUCGAACAUAAUCCUCUUUACCUCUCUUCAACAUUCAUACCGGUGAAUAAUCCGUGCGACCAGCAUACUUUGAGAGCUCGUUUGCCAUACAUCUGUUAGGAAUACAUAGCAGCUCAUAAUGGGCAUCACACUCCGAGUAGAUUUAGUAUGCAGUACCCUAGAUCGAUCAAUCACAUUUAUAUCUCUCUUGAUCUCUUUUCAAACAAUGAUAUAUAUAUUGUAUUCACAAUUAUGAUUAUCACAAAGACAGUCAUAAUUGGUUAACCGGUGAAUACAAAACUAUAAUGUGAUUCUCCAAAAAUCGAUCUUCCUCUUUCCUUCAAACUCUCAAUUUCAGUCCAGCUUGCUUUUCUAGAAAUGCCCCAUUAGAUCGAAUCAAACUCAUGAUCAUUGGCAACAUCCUAAGAUAGCAAACACUAAAUAGAAAUCUUGAGAAUAAGUAAGAGUCAUGAGGGGACUAAGAAAUUUGAGGAACUCUCUUCCUCAAGAGUCUCACACAACAUAAAAGUUGAGAUCAAACUUUUGCCACUCUUAUUGGUCGUCUCAUGCAUACGUAGUAUGAAAUACGUAUUACGGUAUUAACUCCUUUCCCAUGGAGCGUAUGUCUACACCUUUCAAUACCGUACAGAUGAUAGUUCAGACAUACCCAAUGUCUAACUUGAGUUCACGUAUCUACUCAUUCACUAAAUUCAUCAGAACUCACAUCUGGCAUCUUAGACAGAUAAAGUAAAAUAUGUGGGGUAUUUUACUUUCGGACAUAGUAAGUAUUAUGUCCUCAUCUUAACACCUAGUUAAGGCGACAUACGUGUUUUAAGCUUGAGCUCUCAAUUAUCACCUAGAUAAUAAGCUUAAAAACAGUCUCAUCUCUAUUUAUCACACAGUAAAUAGAGGCGAUUACCCGUGUGAGUGGGCUAAUCUCAUCUGUCCGACAUACUUUUUCUAACUUAAAAUAAUGCACUGAGCAUUAAGAUGCAUAAAGAUCAAACAAAGAUUCAUAGGCAUUAAUGAUGAAAACACAAAUUCAUCAAAUGUGAACUCUUAGGGAAAUUACAAUAUUCAGUACAUCAUCCUCUACGCAAUCCUAGAGAUUUCACAUGGCCACAAAACACAUCUCUAGGUAUUGGCUUUGUCGUAGGAUCUGCUACCAUUCUAUGCGUAGUAUGUACUCUAAGUUCAUAUAUUUUCGUGCAAUCAUAUCCAUGACAAAAUUAUACUUGGUAUCUAUAUGUUUGGUCUUGCCAUGAUAUUUGGAUCUUUAGUGUACACUUUUGCUGCUUGAUUAUCAUAGUUAACUAAUAACAAAUCUGCAGCACUUCCAAUAACACCUAAAUGAUCCAAUAAUCUCUUAAGCCAAAACAUCUUCUUAUACUGCUGCUGAUAAUGCCACGAACUCAAUUCCAUCGUGGACAAGGCUAUAUACUCUUGUUUCUUACUGCUCCAACACAUGGUGCCAUUAUUCGGUAAGAGAACAAACCUAGAGGUAGAUUUCCUUUCAUUUAAAUCUUCUCCCCAAUCAACAUCAGAAUAGCCUUAGAGUCGCAGAUCCUUUCCAUAAUAACUCUACAUAUAAUCAGCAGUCCACUUUAGAUACCUCAGUAUUCACUUAACGGCUUUCCAACGUGCUUGACCUGGAUUGGAUUAGUAACUACUCACCAUUCCAAUUACAAAACAUAUGUCAGGUCUUGUACACAUCAAAGCAUACAUAAAGCUUCCAACAGCACUAGCAUAAGGAACAUGUUUCAUUUGUUCCUUCUCUUGUGGAGUCCUUGGACACAGUCUAUGGCUCAAUCCUUCACCUUUUGCAAUAGGAGCGUCAAUGGGUUUACAAUCCCAUAUCAUUCAAUUCAAAAUUUGGAAGACAACCAACUUUUGACAGUAUUGACUAGCUCCAUAUUGUUUCCGGCAAUUAGUAUAUCAUCAACAUAUAAUGAUAUGAUCACAAAUUGAUCCUUGGAUCUUUUGAUAUAUACACAAUGAUCCUCAUCUAUCAUUGUAAAGUCAUAUGCCAUUAUGGCAUUAUGAAAACGUAUAUAUCAUUGUCUUAACGACUGCUUAAGGCCAUAUAUCGACCCCCAAAGUCGACAUACCUUUUCUUCUUGGCCUUUCACUAUGAAACCAACAGGUUGUUCCAUAUAUCUUUCAUCCUCUAAUUUUCCAUUGAGGAAAGCAGUCUUUACAUCCAUUUGAUGUAGCUCAAGAUCCAUACCAAACACUAUUGCCAGAACUAUGCGAAUCAAGGCAAAUCUUACUAUAGGAGAAAAAAUAUCUUCAUAAUCAAUUCCUUCCUAUUGAUUAUACCCCUUCGUCACAAGGCGAGCCUUAUGCCUUUCAAUCGAGCCAUUAGCCUUUCACUUUAUAUUGAGAACCCAUUUGUUCCCAAUAGCUCUGCGUCCUUUUGGCAGAUCAACCAGUUCCCAGACUUGGUUUGAUUUCAUUGACUCCAUUUCCUCUUCCAUUGCAUUAAUCCAUUUUUCCUUACUAGGGCAAUUUAGAGCCUCAUUAAUAUUUCUUGGCUCAUACUCAUCUUGUGGAGCAAUCAUAAAAGUUUCCCUUUCAAUGUCAAAACAUCGACGGGGAAUACUUUGGCGACUUAUUCACCGUAUGGGAGAUUGUACACUUAGCACAUCAUUCCCCAUUAUGCUCCCACUUGGAUUAGGUAAUGAUGAUGUCGUCACAUCAAGUGGUUGCAAUUGAGAAUGAGUUGAAUUCAAUUCAUCACAUCUCAUAUUACUCCCACUUGGAUGAACACCACUAAUAUCAUAAUCUUAAUCCAAGGUUUCAAAUAGGAAGUAAUCUUCCCCUAUUUCGCCCUUUUUAGGAAAUUCAUCCACUAAGAAUGUGACAUCCUGUGAUUCAAAUUCAGUUAUUCUCCCACUUUCCUGCUCACCUACAAACACAUACCCUUUUGAGUGUUCGGAGUAUCUCAUUAAAAUACUCUACUUUUAUAUGGGACUCAAUUUCCCAAACUUGUGAGAGGACAUAUGAGUAUAGACAGCAUAACCCCAUGGCUUAAGUAAACUUAAGUCCGGUUUUCUACCUAUCCAUAACUCAUAUGGAGUGGAACUAACUGAUUUGGAAGGCACCCGGUUAAGUGUUUAGGCAGUAGUUAACAACGCAUCACUCCAUAAAAGUGAUAUGUAAGUUAGCAUAUGCCAUCAUGGACCUAACCAUUUCUAGUAGGGUUCUGUUUCUUCUCUCUGCAACACCAUUUUGUUGAGGAGUAUAUGGAAUAGACAACUAUCUUUCUAUUCCUUUUUCAUCACAUAAUUUUCUGAACUUAUCAGAUAAAUAUUCUCAGCCUCGAUCGGAUCUAAAUACCUUUAUUUUCCUGUCUAAUUGAUUUUCCACCAGGUUCAUGAACCUUUUGAAACAACUUAUGCUUCAGAUUUAUGAGAAAUCAAAUAGACACAUCCGAAUCAAGUAGAAUCAUCCAUAAAAGUGAUGAAACAAACAGCCCCUUGCCUUCCUCUCACAUUUAUUGAACCACAAACGUCAUAAUGGAUUAAAUGCAGAGGAACGUUAGCUCUUUUACCUUUUCCAAAUGGUUUCCUUGUCGUUUUCCCUUCUAGGCAAUGCUCACAUAUGGACAAAUCAACUUUUUCAAUAUUGCCCAAUAAGCCCUGUUUGGCUAGUCUUUUCAUAUGUUGUUGGCCCAUAUGACCAAGUCUAGCAUGCCAUAAUAUUCACAUCAUUAUCAUAUAAGAUAGAAGACGUGAAACAAGGGGAUAACAUAUUGACAUCAUCACAGUCAACAUUUAGUACAAUAAAACCAUCUAGAAAGUGACCACUAUUAUAGUAGUUUGUAUCCAAAUACAAAUCUACAGCUCUAUUAUGGAAGUUCAUAUUAAAACCAAGCUUAACCAACAGUAAAACAGACACCUAAAUUUCGACGAAUUUCCAGAGCAUUUAGAACAUCAUGUAGGAACAAGUUGCGUCCACCACACAUGUUCAGUUGGCAGGUGCCAAUCCCUAUUAACUUCAGCUCUGGAGUUGUUUUCCACAUAGAUCCACUCAGUUCCAGUUGGUAUUCGUCGGAAUUCCACGUAGGAUCCUUUAUCCUUCGCUAGAUCGUCUGUUGCUCUUGAAUCUACAGUCCACAAAGGAUUGGAUUCAUCCAAUAAUUCAGAACUUGACACAUAAUCAAAGUUCUCAAAUGUACAAGAGGUGUAUGCCUUCUUUGGCUCACAACAGUCGCGAGCAUAGUGACCCUUCUUGUCACAGUUGUAACAUUUCACUCUUGACAUUUUCUUCAAUUGAGGACGUUUUCCUCUCUUGUGUUGGUUAACUCUUGAUCUCUUGUAAUAAGGACUUGAUCCUUUGCAUUCCCACAUAUUGAACGAAUCAAUACAUUUGCGCUUAGAGCACAAAGCCCUUUCUGAGCUAGAACCAGCAUUGCAAAUAUCUAUUUACAGCUCAAAUGCCGUUAGGCGGUCCUCAACUAGCUCAAGGUGGCGCACAACAUUUAUAAGAUCUUCCAUAAUAUGGUCAAGAGCUUCUAGUGCUUCUUGCUUUUCCAGCACAUAUUGAAUCUUCAUAUUCAAUAUUUCACAAUUGUAGCCGUUCAUAUCAGCAAUCACGCUCUUUAUUGCUGAAACCAUCAGUCUGAACACAUCAGACAUACAUGCACGAAUAAUUAAUGCCUAUCAUUUAUGCAUCCCUAUUUGCAUAGACCCAUCAUAUUAAUAAAUAAUUUUAAGUAAGGCUUCAGAAUCAAAAGGUCACUACGUUUCCAAUCAUCCUCCAAAAAUCCUAACUUAAAACUAUCAUUAAUAUGAUUGUCAUAUGCAAAAUCAAUUCUAUGAAGUUACAAAAACUUCUAUAACUACCCACAGCUAACUACCCACAGCAACCAGCAAUAGCAGAAAGCAAAUAAAAAUUUUUAACAUCCAAUAAAAUAACAAUGCUUUCACAUGAUACAACUAAUAUAUCGGUUGCUACAUUAACAACAAUCAGGUAGUAAUCAUUACACUAAGCAAUAUAUACAAAGAAAAAUAUCAACAUGGAAAGAGAUAUUUACAUCUAUAAAAAAUCUCACAAUUAAUCUAAGAAAUAAUUAGGAAAUGUCCCUUCUAAUCUAUCAGCCAAAACAUCUGAGAAAACUGAAGGUACAUUUGCCAACCAUGGAAAAACUUUUGGAGAGCUCUCAUGUCGCCACCAAGGCGCAUUCUCUCUGCGCCACGUAGCGCACAAUCUAAGGGUUGAAGUUUUGGCCAACUCAAUCCUAUAGUACUCUCUUACAAAAGCUUCCACCAGCCUCCUAUAACCCGGGACCACGUUGACCUCCCAGAGCCGAUCUAACACUGCUUGCCAUUCAGGUGGAAGAGUGUUCAACAAAGCCGGCACCUUCUCAAAAUCCGGCAUAAGAUAACCAUUAUUGAUGAUUUCCUGUAUCAUCCGAUUAACCUUGACCAUAUGUGAUACUAAAUCACCAUCAAGCCACCGAAAAUCAGCUAACUCUUUCAUCAGCCUUUUCAGUCUAGCUCUUCCUUCGUCCGUUCUCGGGAUUGCAGGUAUCCGUGCAUUACGCAUCAUAGUUUCUGCAACAAAUGCAGAAUUAAAAAUGGAUCACUUAUCAUCCAUAAUUAAUAUCAGAGAAAAUACAUAAUUUUUCAAAAUUCAUGCAACAAAUGCAGAAUUAAAAUGGAUGACCUACAACCCACACUGACAUAAUUGAAAAAGAAACAAAUUCCUUUUUUUUUUUUUUUUUUUUCGGGUCAACGGUCAACGGUCAACGGUCGUCGGUCACGGGUCAACGGUCAACGGUCGUCGGUCAACGGUCAACGGUCAACGAUCGUCGGUCAACGGGCGCGCGGGUCGAACCGGUCGGACCGGACGGGCCGGUCGGACCGCUCGCACGGACCGACCGCACGUGCCUCGUGCGUGCGGGGGAUGACGUCACGCAGACGUCAUCCGGCACGUGCCGGGCGCGUGCAGCCUUCGCGAGUCGGGUCGGGUCGCCGGCAGGUCGGGUCGCCGGCCGGUGACCGGCCGGCCAAACGUCAUCGGUGAUGACGUCAUCGGUGACGUCAUCGGUGACGUCAUCCGAACGGUUACCGACCGUUGGAUGACGUCACGAUGACGUCAUCUCGUGACGUCAGCACGCGUCGGUCCGCGGACCGGCGCGUGCCGCUUCGCCGGUCGCCGGCGCGCACGUGCCGGUUCGUCACCGGCGCGUGUGGCGCACGCGCUGGCGAAGCCAGCGCUUCCAGGCGCGUGGCGCCCACGCGCAGCGGCUUCUGGCCGCGCGUGUGGGCGCGUGCGGCGUUGUACGGCGGCGUGCGACAUGUCACCGGCCUCGUCUUGACGUCGCGCUUCUCCCAGUGCUUUCAGAAUUUGUUUUUGACAUUUGAAAACUCAUGAAAAUGGCCUAAGAAGUCUCGGGUGUCGGGAUUGUUGUCCCAAUCCGUACGGCCGAGAGUUUCUUCGCGAAAAAUCAAUCAAAAACACAUCAAAUUGAUCGGGAAAACGUGAACCUGGCUCUGAUACCAAUGUUGGGAAUUACUGAUCCCCGAAAUACCGGAUUCGACACUAAAUCGAACCCCUAAAUCAAUGCGGAAGCGAAGCCCGGGAAAACACGCAUCACCGAUCGUAAAGCACACCACGGAUUCGAGUGUACCUUGUUAGCCACAGAUUAAACACCAAUGCCGAAGAAGAGGAAGAAAUUCUGGGCCCGUUCGAUCCGAUGACGACUUGAAGGGAAGGAAAGCGCGCCGUAUGCUUACUGCCUUUUCUUUUUGGGUGAGAGAGAGCGUGAGAAGAGAAAAGACGUACGUUUAUCAAAACGUUGUCUUCUCUCUCUCUCUCCUCCCCUUUUAUACCUUCCCCCUCCACGGGCCCUAUUCCCGUGGGCCGGGCCUUUUGGGCCCAGCAUGGGCGGAUGGGCCCUAAGCCCAUCUCAUAAAUCCAUCACCCGGCUUCUUCGUCUUCUUCCCCAUCCUCUCUCUCUCUCUCUCUCUCUACAGUUCACCGUUUCGUCGGCCAGACUGGCGGCAACUCUCGCAACUAGAAGAAGGCCGACGGCGGGAGCAGACAGAGGAGGGGAGGCGAGGUUUCUCUUUCGAGGGGCGUUCUUUCAAGGGAAAUUUCACUUUCGUCCCUGUAGUUUUGGGAUCCUUCGCUUUUUGACCCGUGUACUUUAUUUUCGUCGCGAUUAUAAUCCUUGUGCUAUUCUUCCACAAUAAUUUGAUGGGAUGAGUUCUCUAGAAAUCUUAAAAUUUAUAGUGGAAGUGCAAUUGAGUCCUAAAAAUUUCAAAAAGUGCAAUCAAGUCAUAAACCUCAUCACCAAAGUACAAUCGAGUCCUAAAAAUCUCUAAAAAUGCAUUUGAUGACAUGACUUCAUUGAACUAAUUCGACAAGUUUAGGACUUGAUUUGCACUUUUUGAAAAUUUUAGGACCCGAUUACACUUUCGUGAUAAAUUUUAGGAAUUAAUUAUAAAUUUUGAAAAUUUUAGAACUUAUUUAUAUUUUUAUGAUAAAUUUUAAAAAUUUUGACACACUUGUCAUAGUUUGAACUUGUUCGUCAAAUUUCCAGGGAUUUUUCCGUUCUCUUUUGCUUUGUCCACCUAAAAAGGAAAAAGAAAAACGUUCUCUUCCGCCGCAUCCUUUCUUCCUCUAUAUAUUUUGUUUUUUUUUUUUGGUAAAAAUCCUCUCUAUAUUUUGUUGGUAUUUUGUUCAUAAAACAAAUAAAGAGGUGCAUUGUCCCACAUCGAAAAGAUAUGAGUGCACACGUGGAUGAGAUUUGACACUAACUGACGAUCAUUAAUUUUAUUUAUUGAAAAUUCGAAUUUAUUUCUAUCAAAAAACUAACUAUAAAGUUUUGUUGAAACAGUGCGACUGUUCACAAAAAGUUACGGUUAUUUUUAUUUAUUAUUUAUUUAAUUCCGAAUUUUUAUGUUUUUUCAAUGUAACCUUUAAGGCAUACUUGUUCAUUUUAUAACAUUUCCUGAAAGAUCGCAUUUGUUCUUUUUUGCAACCUUUUGAAAAGUUGCAUCUAUUCGAAAGACAAAGAUAAGUAACGUUGUUUAAUCUUCUUUCAUUUUUUCGUUUUCUUUCGAAAGAAACUAUAGCGAUUGUUUAUAAUUAUUUUCCAUGAGAGGUCUUGGAGAAAUAUUAAAAUUGUUAUAUAGUAUUCUUAUUUGAGACUUUGUUGUAUCCUGAAGGAAAUUUGCCGGUGACCAUUGGCAACUUUGUGGGGCAAAUAAAUCCUUAAAGAAAAUAAUAUCACGCCUCAAAGUCUGAUUUGAUUACUCGAUCGACUUUAUUAUUCUAUCCAAUUUGAAGACAUAUUUUCCUAACAUAUUUUAGGUGGCCACCUUCAGUAUUCGAUACCAUCCAUGUCCUGACGUGCACGGCUUUCGCUUUUGUCUUCGCCUCACUCGCAAGCGAUGUACUUGCUUGCCGUGGCUUUAUUCUGGUCAACCUCUCGAAGUAAUCCCCUGGCUUGCCUAAUGGUAGAUGCACUCAGAUCGCUUCCCAUGUCACCAACUAAUCUGAACUCGAUAGGCCAAGUCGUAUAUUUGAUUUAUUCUGGAGGUUGAGCUCGUGACUCUAGCUUCGCAGGAUGCAGAUGAGAAAAUGCAUGAUGAAGCUCAGCAGAUGCUGCUGUGCCUGUUUGACAAGAUUCAUUCAGACAACAGAUGACACAAGGGAUUCCAAGGCUUAUCAGACGCUGGUACGCCUAUUCGACGUAGACAACAUGACCAUCCUCAAGCAUUUAAUCUAUGCCAAGAACGACAUACAGCCGCUGGUGGACGGUACCACAAGAUUGAGGGUUUGGUCCUUCUUCCUUUUACCUCUUCCCUCCCAUUAUUGUACUCAAUUGGCCUCGACCUAGUCAAUAUCCAUCUACAGAAAUAUAACAGCAAUGCUCUCUCACUUCACAACAACCAGGUCAGCCUCGAAGUGCUGAGAAAGAAAACAGUGUUGCUACUAAUAUCAGAUCUUGACAUCGCCAUUGAAGACAUAGAAUUUCUCAAUUACAUCUACAGAGAGUAUCAUGCAAGGCCUGAGAACCAGUUUGAAAUGGUGUGGCUUCCAAUUGUGGAUAUCGAUCCAAAAUCAGCUGCUUCGGAUAUGACCCAUCAGCAGAAAUUCGAGGAGCUGCAGAGCAUCAUGCCAUGGUACACUGUCCACCACCCUUCAAUCCUUGAACCAGCCGUGAUCAGGUACAUAAGAGAGGAGUGGCGUUUCUCAAAGAGGGUCAUCAUAGUAGCUCUGGAUCCACAGGGGAGGUUGGCGAGCCCCAAUGCCCUCCACAUGAUCCGGAUAUGGGGAAAUUUGGCCUUCCCUUUCACUAAGGAACGAGAGGAAGCGCUGUGGAGGGAGGAGAGUUGGACACUCAAGCUGAUCAUUGAUGGCUUAGAUGACGGGACUAUGGUGGAAUGGGUAAAAACUUUCAUCCCUAACGAUCCUUUGUUCCCCAUAUUUAUUCUUAGAUAUGCAUCUGUUGGGGAAAUUAGUUUGGUGAAGAAGAUGAAGAAAAUAUUAGUAGAUCCUUAAUGGCUUGAUGCAUGAUGACAAUCACUAUCCUUAAGGUAUUAUUUGUCCCUUCUAUUGUUGCUGCUUGGUUUAGAACAAUUAUACCUCUAGAAUAUACACCAAAGCCGCAGAGAAAGGAGUUUGGCAAUUACUCGAAUCUCUCUUGGAAUUUUUCCAUGAAUGUGUUGAGAUUACGUGUAUGAAAAGAAAAUAAGAGAGAGUUUAGAAGAAAAAGUGCAUUUUUGAACGGUUGUGGUUAUUAUAAAUAAUAUGUGAAUUAGUGUUUAUUCAAAAAAAAAAAAAAACAAUCAAUACAUCUCUUAGAAAUAAGUAUCUUAUCUCCAACCAUCACAAUUUUUCAUGUCAAUAAUAACUUCUUCAUAACUAUUAACUACUCUAACUUCCUUUUAGGCCGAAGAGUAGCCUCUUUUCACAAUGAAGAGUCAUGUCUUCUUUAAUCAAGAGUCAUGUUUUAUUUUCAUCAAAAGUCAAGUAUUCUCUUAACUAAGAGACACCUAUUUAUGAUAACAAACUAUUUCAACAAUCCCCCACUUAGUUUGUUAUCUACACUAAUUUACAUAAAUUCAUACAUACAAGACCAUAUCUAUUAAGAUUUGAACCUUCAAUUAGUGUAGAUAAUUCAAUUAACCAAAUCAGUGGUAGAUAAAACUUUGAACCAUCAUUUUUUUAAUCAAAUUAUUACACAUAUGAAUUUAUACACAUUCAAUUAGAAAUUUCCUAUGCUUAAGCACUUUUAUGGCCUAAGUAUACACAUUUACUUAGAAAUUUCCCAUGCUUAAGCACUUUUAUGGCCUUAUGCUUAGGGGUAAGCGGUUCCGGAUUCGGUUUCACUUGGAACUUGAAAUCUACCCUCACAUAUAUGUUCUUUAUUUUUUAGAAGCUGGAACCUACCCAUUGAGAUAUGGAGCCUAAAACUCACCCUAAGUUUUAGGAUUGGUUCCAGGGUUUAAUAGGUUCUUUCUUCUUCUUCUUCUUCUUCUUCUUCCUUAUUUAUUUAUUUAUUUAUUUCAUUUUUAGUUUAAAAGACGAAAAUGAACGCAACAAUAAUGACCAAAUUUGUCAUUCAUCAAAGAGAAAAUAAGACGAACAAAGUUAUCUAUAGUGAAAAUGAAAUUCUUGACAAUGACUUCAACUAAAUAAAAGAGAGGAAAUAGAGCAAAAGUCUGCAUUGAAAUUAAACAAAAUUCACUAGACUUCAUUGUUGAUUAGGGGUGAGUGAUUUCGGGUUCCAUAUAGGUUCCACCUAUCCAUUUGAGCAAAUUCAAUUCGAAAUCCAUCCCGCAUAUCCUAAGACCUAGAACCUACCUCAUGAUCUAUUCAAGUUCCACUUAUAUUAUCAAUUGAACGAUUACAGUAAAUUAAAACCUUUAAUGACCACCAUUUGCUAUUAUAAUUUUAUGACCAUAAUUUAUAUUUAGACAUAUGAAAGAUAUGGACAUUAAUAAAGUGGAAGUCUUAGUUAUAAAAUAGAAGCUCAAACUAAUGCUUUUAAAUUAUACAUUCAUUAUCGAACAACAUGAAAUAUCACAAAAUUGCAUGAAGACAUAGACUAAGAAAAAUAUUAAAACUUGUUCUAAAUUCUAAGUUACAGAUUCAGGUUCAAUCAAGAACCUAGAACCUACCAAUCGAAACAGAUUCCUUAUUUUUUGGAACUUAGAACCUACCGUACAUAUCUUGAAACCUAAAACUUACAUGUACUCACUAGUAUAGUUCUUAGGUUCCAGGUUCUACCUUAGAAUCAUGCUUACCCCUACUUACUCCUCCUGCAUUCAUAAUUACAAAAGUUCAUCCAACUUUUUUUAGAAGUGGCACCAUUUCUUAUGUUUAUAUAGGUGAAGUUCUUGAAUUUGUUACCUCUACAUUCUCUUGCUAAAACCUUGAACUUCAUUAGGAGUGUUGUGUUAAGCUCAUCAUCUUAACUUUUUAUGAGUGCUAACCUUGUGUCCUAGUACUCAAUCACCGUCAAGUUACAAUAGCUUGUUGUUAUCCAUUUAACUUUAAUAAUUUUGUUAGAAAUUAUAAAGUCGGGUUUCUAUUGUGCUUGACUAUUAUCAAUUGGCCUAAGGCCCAUUCCCUUGGCAAUACUAGUUAUUAAACCUCUCAAGAGUCCCUUAGUAAAUGGAUCGACUAAGUUAUCCUUUGUCCGAAUGUAAAUUACUAAAAUAACGCCAUCAAUAAUUAAUUGUCGAACAUACUCAUAUCGCAAACUAAUAUACCUAGAUUUUCCAUUGUUUAUUUUAUUGUAUGCCCUAAACAUAAUUACCUCACUAUCACAACACAAAGAUAUGGCUGCCAUUGGCUAUGACCACAACUCUGUAUCCAAUACUAAAUUGCGCAACCAUUUAGUCUCUUUAUUAACCACCAAUAGUGAUAUAAUUCAUAUUCCAUUGUUGAAUGAGUUAUACAUGUUUGCUUCUUUGAUGUUCAAGAGUCGCGCCAUUGGCAAGCUUUAAAAACCUCAUUCUUUGAAUAUCCUUCUAGUACUAUUGGUUGCCUUUCAAUGCACAGUACUUGGAUCACCAAUAAAUUUGGAAAAUUUACACACAAUAAUUAUUAUAUUUGGUCUAAUGUAAUGCAUAAUGUGCACCAAACUUCCAAUUGCAUUGGCAUAACUAUUGUGCUAAAUGUUGUCUAGUAUUUUUCCUCUUUGAAUGAUUUUCUCCACGUAGUGACAUUGACUUAAAGCAUAACAUCCACUAUAUUUGAUCACUUUGAUAUCUAAAAUUGUAUCAACUUCUCUCAAAUCUUUCAUUUUAUACUAAUAAGAUCGAUACCUUUUAGUUUGGCAGAAGUAUAGCCCAAGUGCCAAAACUUGGCACGAAAUGACACUUAAGUGCCAAAAGUUAGGAAAAUGACACUAAGUGUCACUUUUUUUUAAAAGUGAGACACUUUAAGUGCUAUCUCCAGCAAAAUCCCACUAGAAAUCCUACGCGGCAAUUUUUUUAUUAUUUUUUUCGUCUACAUGGCUCGCCGAAAUGCUGACUUAACAAAAAAAGGCAAACACGACGUCGUUUUUAAGCGGAUUCGAAUGUUAUUAUAAAAAUUAAUUUAAUUAAAUUAUAAAAAUAAAUAACAACUAUUACUUUAAUUUACUUUUAAAAAAGGUGGGGGAGAGGAGGCAGUGGCUGAGGUAUAACUCUAUACUCUUGAUUAAGUUUUGAAUAAAUGCACUUAGCGGCAUUGUUAUUUUUAAAUCCAUAUGAUAAUACCACCGAAUCAAAUUUUCUCGUGCCAUUGUUCUGGUACUUUCUUUGUCUCUACUCAUGUUGUCAUUCUCAACAAAAUGCCCCUUUUUUGCAACUUUUUUCACGUAAUUAGCCUCACGUUCACUAGAACCUUUCUCAGUUCGAAUAUGUUUUAUCACAUUAGCCACAAUUAGGUUCUCAAUCAUGUGGAGAAGUUUAUUUCGAUAAUCAUUCCAAGUUGAGGGCAAUUGUGAAAUAAUUGCAGCAACUUGAAGAGGUUCAAAAACUUCAAUCAUAAAGCCUUUGAGUUUGGCAACAUAUAUUUAUAGUUCAUCUGCUUGUUUAGAGACAAAAUUUCGAUUAAUCAUGGUAAAUACAAAAUAUUUCAGAGCAGUAAAUCUAUCGGUACCUUGUUUAUCAGUAUUAUAUUUAGUCUCGGAGGCAUUUCAAAUGUCUCUGGGAUUUGUGUAAAAUCGGAAAGUUUCAUGUAGACAAUCCGAUAAAGUAUUGAGAAUUCUUCCUCAGUACCUCCUUUCAUCAUCCUUGCGCCUUUUCCUUGCAACAUUGAUUUGAUCAGUCAUCAUCCUUAAGAUUUGGAGUAGUGAGCAAGCUGGGGUCUAGGAUGUAGAAGAUACAUAAUCCAGAUAGAAGAAGAAUCAUAUUCUCCUUCCAACGGAUGAAAUUAGUUCCAUCAUAAGGAUCGAUUCACAAUCAGUCAAGACUGCAAGCACUUGAUGCAGCCAAUGUCUCCAUCUCCAUAACAAUAAAUCCUUAAGAUUGUUGGGGAAAAUUUGUUUGGUGAAGAAGAUGAAGAAGUAGAAGUAGAUCAUUGACUCUUUAAUGCAUGAUGACGAUCACUAUUUUUAGGAUAUUACUUGCCCCUAUUAUUAUUGUUGUUGGGUUUAGAACAAAUAUACCUCCAAGAUAUACAUCAACGCCAUAGAUAAAUGAGCUCAGCAAGUACUCGAAUCUCUCUUGAAAUCUCCUUGAAUGUGUUCAGAUUGCAUGUAUGCAAAGAGAAGAAGAGAGAGUUAUGAAGAAAAAAUGCAUUUCUGAAUGGUUGUGAUUACUAUAAAUAACAUGUGAAUUGGUGUUUAUUCAAAUAAAACCAAUCAACACAUCUCUUGUAAAUAGAUACCUUAUCCCCAACCACCACCACUCUUCAUGUCAAGAAUAACUUCUUCAUAACUACUGAUAACUUCCUUUUAGGACAAAGAGUCGCCUCUUUUCAUAAUCAAGAGUCAUGUCUUAUCUUAACCAAAAGUCACGUAUUCUCUUAACCAAGAGAUACCUCUUUUAUGAUAACAAACUAUUUGAACAGCAAUCUCAAAAACACACUGAAAAGAGGCUUUGGCAAACAAACUUUGAUUAAGAAAAAAUAUUCUGAGAUGAACCAUGGACCAGGCUUUAUUUUUCUCUGCAAAAAGUAAAGCGGAAGAGGAAGUAAAAGAGGAGUGAGACGCUUGAUUCGGUAACAUAUAGCGACCAAGGUCUGAUUACAUCGCUUAAAAUUACCGCCAGAGGGACUAAGCAUUGAUAGGGACAACUUUUUCCAUCGAGGAAAAUGAAUUUCCUUGUAGUAAAGUGCACGUAGCCUGAACUUUCACAGUAUAAAGUAGUCCCAAAUAAUUCCUAGUAAAUAUAUGCUGGACCAUGUCCUAAUGCAGACAAGUAUCGCAUGUUAACAAAAUGUGCGCGGAGUAUUUGUGUCGGUAAUUAAAUAAUUCCUACUUCUGAUCAGGUGAGACGAGGAUCAUACAUUUGCCUAUUUGGAGGUGAGGACCUUGAAUGUAUCAGGAAGUUAACAGCCACAGCCAAAGAAGUCGCUAAGAUUGCUGGUAUCAUGCUGGGAAUGGUAUAUGUGGGAAAGAGUAAUUCAAAGGAAGGAGUGCGGAGAACAGCUGCGACGAUCACCUCAGAGAAACUGAGUUACUGCUGGAAUGACCCCAGAUUCUUCUGGCUCUUCUGGGCUAGACUCGAGAGCAUGCUCCACUCAAAGGUGCACCUCGGGAACUCCAUUGAAAACGACCCUUUACUGCCAUGGAUCCAGACGAUACUCAACUUUGACAGGAGCGACGAAGGAUGGGCGGUUUUCUGUCAGGGUGUAGGGCCGGACAUGGUGGCAGCCGAGGGCAACAUUGUCCUAGAGAGCAUGGAGGAGUUCGAUAAGUGGAAGGACGAUGCAAAUCAGAAGGGUUUCGUUAAUGCACUGAGAGACCAUCUAAUACAGAAGCAUCUGAUACGCCUGUUUGACGAGAUUCAUUUGGACAACAUGACCAUGCUCAAGCAUUUAAUCUAUGCCGAGGACGACAUACAGCCGCUGGUGGACGGUACCACAAAAUCGAGGGUUUGGUCCUGCACUUCCUUUUACUUCUUCCCUCCCAUUAUUCUACUCAAUUGGCCUCGAUCUAGUCAAUGUCUAUCUACAGAAAUAUAACAUCUCACAACAAAUAGGUCGGCCUUGAAGUGCUGAGAAAGAAAACAGUGUUGCUACUAAUAUCAGAUCUCGACAUUUCCUUUGAAGACAUGGUACUUCUCGACCACAUCUACAGAGAGUCUCGUGCAAGGCCUGAGAACCAGUUCGAAAUAGUGUGGUUUCCAAUUGUGGAUAUCGAUCCAAAAUCAGCUGCUUGGGAUAUGACCCAUCAACAGAUUUUCGAGACGCUGCAGAGCAUCAUGCCAUGGUACACUGUCCACCACCCUUCGAUCCUUGAACCGGCCGUGAUCAAGUACAUAAGAGAGGAGUGGCGUUUCUCAAAGAGUAUCAUCAUAGUAGCUCUGGAUCCACAGGGGAGGUUGGCGAGCCCCAGUGCCCUCCACAUGAUCCGGAUAUGGGGAAAUUUGGCCUUCCCUUUUGCUAAGGAGCGGGAGGAAGCGCUAUGGAGGGAGGAGCGUUGGACACUCAAGCUGAUCGUUGGUGGCUUAGACGACGGGACUAUAAAGGAAUGGGUAAAAACUUCAUCCCUAACGAUCCUUUUUUCCCCCAGAUUUAUUCUUAGUUAUGCAUCUUCAAAAAUGCACUUCAGAGAGGCUUUGGCAAACAAACUACGAUUAAGAUAAUAUAUUCCGAGAUGAACUAUGGACCAGGCUUUGUUUUUCCCCGCAACAAAAUAAAGCAGAAGUGGAAGUAAAAGAGGAGUGAGACAUUUGUUUCUGUAACAUAUAGCAGCAGUUAAAAAAAAAUGGAUAACAUAAGCGAGAAGAGGCAGUCUAUCCAAAUUUCUGAUCAGAUCGCCUAAAUCUACCCCAGAGGGACUUACCACCGUCAGGGACAACCUUUUCCAUUGAGGAAAAUGAAUUUCUUUGUGGUAGCACGUAGCCUGAACUUUCAUAGUAUAAAGUAGUCCCAAAUGAAACCCGGAAAAUAUACAAUGUACCAUGUCCUAAUGCAGACAAGUAUCACUUGUUAACACAAUGUGCACAGAGUAUUCUUGUCGGUAAUAAAUAUUUCCUACUUCUGAUCAGGUGAGACAAGGAUCAUACAUUUGCCUAUUUGGAGGCGAGGACCUUGAAUGGAUCAGGAAGUUAACUGCCACAACCAAAGAAGUCGCUAAGAUUGCUGGUAUCAUGUUGGGAAUGGUAUACGUGGGAAAGAGUAAUUCCAAGGAAGGAUUGCAGAGAACAGCAGCGACGAUCAUCUCAGAGGAACUGAGUCACUGCUGGAACGACCCCAUAUUCUUCUGGCUUUUUUGGGCUAGACUUGAGAGCAUGUUCCACUCAAAGAUGCACCUCAGGAAGUCCAUCGAAAACGACCCUUUACUGCAAGGGAUCCAGGAGAUACUCAGAGAUAUUCCAGUUGNNNNNNNNNNNNNNNNNNNNNNNNNNNNNNNNNNNNNNNNNNNNNNNNNNNNNNNNNNNNNNNNNNNNNNNNNNNNNNNNNNNNNNNNNNNNNNNNNNNNGUAUGGGGCUGGAUAUGGUGGGAGCCAAGGGCAACAAUGUCCUGGAGAGCAUAGAGGAGUUCAACAAGUGGAAGGACGAUGCAAAUCAGAAGGGUUUCCUUAAUGCGUUGCAUGGCCAUCUAAGACAGAAGGAGCUGGUACACCUGCUUGGCAAGAUUCAUUUGGACAAAACGACCAUCGUCAAGCAUAUGAUGGACGUCAAGGACGACAUACAGCUGCUGGUGGACCAUACCAUAAAAUCAAGGGUUUCUUCCUACUUUCUUUUACUUCUGCCUUCAAUUUAUUUGACUGAUCUAGUCAAUGUCUACCAACAGAAAUAUAACAGCAAUUCUCUCUCAUUUCCAAACAAACAGGUCAGCCUUGAAGAGUUGAGAAAGAAGACAGUGUUGCUACUAAUAUCGGAUUUUGACAUUGCCACUGAAGACAUCGAACUUCUCAACCGCAUGUACAGAGAGUCUAAUGCAAUGCCUGAGAACCGAUUCGAAAUAGUGUGGCUUCCAAUUGUGGAUAUCGAUCCACAGUCAGCUGCUUGGGAUGUGAUCCAUCAGCAGAAAUUCGAGGAGCUGCAGAGCAGCAUGUCAUGGUACACUGUCCACCACCCUUUGAUCCUUGAACCGGUCAUGAUCAAGUACAUAAGAGAGGUCUGGUUUUUCUCAAAGAGUAUCGUCAUGGUAGCUCUGGAUCCACAAGAGAAGUUGGCGAGCCCCAAUGCCCUCCACAUGAUCCGGAUAUGGGGAACUUUGGCCUUCCCUUUCACUGAGGAGCGAGAGGAAGCGCUGUGGAGAGAGGAGAGUUGGACACUCAAGCUGAUCAUUGGUGGCUUAGACGACGGGACUAUAAAGGAAUGGGUAAAAACUUCAUCCCCAACGAUCCUUUUUUCCCCCAGAUUUAUUCUUAGUUAUGCAUCUUCAAAAACGCACUUGAAAGAAGCUUUGGCAAAAAACUGUGAUGAAGAAAAAAUAUUCCGAGAUGAACCAUGGACCAGGCUUUAUUUUUCCUCGUAAAAAGUAAAGAAGAAGAGGAAGUAAAAGACGAGUGAGACAUUUGGUCCUAUAACAUAUAGCAACCAAGAUUUGAUUGCAUCGCUUAAAACUACCGCCAGAAGAACAAAGCAUGGCCAGGGACAACUUUUUCCAUCGAGGAAUAUGAAUUUCCUUGUAGUAAAGUACACGCAGGCUAAACUUUCAUAGUAUAAAGUAGUCCCAAAAAAUUCCUGGUAGAUACAUGCUGGACCAUGUCCUAAUGCAGACAAGUAUCGCAUGACAACAAAACGUGUACAGAGUAUUCGUGUCAGUAAUCUCUAUUUCCUACUUCUGAUCAGGUGACACAAGGAUCAUCCAUUUGCCUAUUUGGAAGCGAGGACCUUGAAUGGAUCAGGAAGUUCACAGCCACAGCCAAACAAGCCGCUAAGACUGAUGGUAUCACGCUGGAAAUGGUAUAUGUGGGAAAGAGCGAUUCCAAGGAACGAGUGCAGAGUAUAGCUGCAAUGAUCACCUCAGAGAAACUGAGUUAUUGCUGGAACGAUCCCACAUUCUUCUCGUUAUUUUGGGCUAGACUCGAGAGUAUCCUCCACUCGAAGGCACAUUACGGGAUCACCAGAAACGACCCUGUAAUUGAUGAGAUCAGGAAGAUUUGCACUUAUGACAGGACCACCCAAGGAUGGGCUAUUUUGUGCCAAGGUGCAGGGAUGGAGAUGGGCACAGCCAGGAGCGACAUUGCCCUCCUGGACAGCAUGGGGGUGUUCCAUGCACCGAUCUAAGAACAUGAUGAGUUUAAAGACUAUAGAAGAGCGGAGUAUCACUGGAGGUGCACCCCAGCAACUGCUUGAUCACGCCCGGGAGCGGUGUGAAUUCCCCAGAUAGAAUCGUGUGUGCAGAGUGCGGCGAGGAGAUGGGGACUAUUUACCGCCACUGCAACGAAUAAGCAGAAGAUAGAAUUGAUUACUUGAAUGUGAAGAUCUAUUGUGAUCUGCCAUCUUGAGGCUAUGAAAGAUUUGGUUGUGGAAGAGAGUGAUGCAGGUUGUAGUGUCGUGUCUGGUGUGCCGAUCAUUCCGAUAUAGCAUAUUUCAAUUGGAUUAAAACAACUGAUAGGUAUAAUCUACAUUUUUAUCAACAACGUGUCAACUGAGCCCUUUCCAUUAUGGGCUCCAGUCAAACACAAUUGCCUACACUUUGCUACUCAACUAGGCCCGUUAUCAAUAGAUGCAAAUACCCAAUUCAAUCAGAUCAGGUUCAACAAAUAUUGGAAUAUCCAUUAACCCAAUUAUUUAAAAUAAAAAAUCAAUUAAUUAAUGUAAACCCAUAUUAUAGGAAAUUUCAAACAUUCUCCCACUUGGGCCACAUUAAUUAACUUAUUUUAUUUUGAAAAGGAUUUUAUAUUUGAAAAAGACACUAUCGGGUUAAUAACUGAAAAUUUUGUUUAUGUGGCCACAACUUUUAAAAAAUAAUAUUCCAAUAAUGGCAUCUCAAUACCAAUCCAAUCCUAUAUAACCUCAAUAUCGGACUAUGGAGAUCAAUGUGUUAAAAAAAUACCACAACACAAUACCUUCCAUAAUCACAUAUAAUAAGUAUUAUAUUUUCAUGGAUCAUGGGCCUAGUAGUGUAGUAAGAAAUAGUGUCAAAGCCUGGCCCCGACGAGGCUCGGCCUCACCAGAUUUGGGCAAGGCAAAGCCUCACCGGGGCGAAGCUCGCCGGAUGUCGCCUAGCCGGUCGUCGGCCACGACGGUGAACGGCGACCGGCCAAAGAGAAAAAGAAAAAUGAAAAAUAAAAUAAAAAUAUUAAAAUAAAUAAAAAAAUUAUACAAGUUUACCAAACGUGUUUCUGUUCCAAGAACAUAAAUUUUGUACAGUUAUCAAACGUGUUCUUCUGUUCAAAAAAUUAUUCCUAGAAACAGAAAUAGUUUUUUAUAAUUAUGUUCCUAUGAACAAUUUUUGAACAAAAACGUUACCAAAUGUGCCCUUAAUAUAGUUGGUUAUCUUCUGUCGAUCUAUCUUGGGUUUGUUUCACUUUAGGAUAGGCUUCUUAGGAUAUGUUCGGUAACAUUUCUGUUUCGUGGAGCAAUUUCCUUUAUAAAUAAUAUUUUUCUAUUUUUAUUCCUCGAAACAAUUUUUGAGUAAAAAAAUGUGUUUGGUAACUAUACAAAAUUUCUAUUCUCCAACUAGACAAAGCACCGGGAUUCGUUUGAUACGGUUCACAAAUUUUUUUAUCGUAUAGAAUUUCUUUUAGUUUUUAAAGGUUUUUUAUUUUCCUUUUCUUCUUCUUCCCAGCAGGCAGCGGCUACGAGGAAGAAGAAGAAAACAAAAAAAUGAUUUUUUUCUAGAAAUUAUUCCCAUGAAUAAGAAAUUACUUUUUUCAACUUCUUAUUUCUUUUUCAAAUAUAUUCUUCGACCACUUUUCUAUUACAGGAGAUAGAAAUAUUGCUAUGAACAUCAUAUGUAACAAUGCCUUUGGUUUAUGGGAUUCAUCAUCCCAUGGGGUCUUAUUCAACGUUUUGAAACAAGGGAAAACCAGGAAGCUCCUUUGCUGAUUUUGGCCUGCCCAUGCAAAGCAAAAGGGUGCUGAGCAAAGACUUUCUAUCGCAUGGGAACAAACAAUCACACGAAAAGUUAAUUAUAUUUUUUUUCAAGGGAAAAAGUCACGAAAAAUCCUAAACUUUACCCAAAGUGACACAUUUACCCCAAUUUUUUUUUGUGGCGUGAAAAACCCCAAACUUUGCCGACCGUGACACAUUUACUCCAAACUUUUUUUUGUAACACAAAAAAUCCUGAACUUUUAUUACAUGACACAUUUACUAAUUUAUAAUUAUUUGUUAUUUGAUUUUUUGUAAUCCUGACAGAUUAUUAUUCUCAGAUCACCCAACCAUUUCACUUUCAUUUUCAUAAUUCCAUUCACCACUCACCUACCAAACCUUCGGGUGCUCGACGUUUCAGGAAUGAUUUUCUAAAAGGCCUUGUGCAAUUCUUGAAGGGAGUUAAAGUUGAGCUCUCGAUUCUGGUAUUUUUCCAACAUAUUUCUUUUAUUGAUUUCUUCAUAUGUCAACUUGACUUUAUCUUUCGGUUUAAUCCGUAAUUUUUUUCAUAUCCUCCCUGAUAUUCUGGAUCAUCUCUUGAAAACCGAAAUGCCUAGAGAACCAUAUAAAAAUGAGUAGAAAAUAUUUAUUUAUUAAGACCCCAUGCGUUUCAUAGAAAAUAUCACUUUUCUUGAACAUGUUUUCCAAAAAACCAUUUUCCAGGAAAAACAAAAAUUGGUAUUCAACUGAAAUUUGAAAUAAACUAGAAAAUUUUCUGCUGUUCAAUAUUUGAUUAGAUUUUCUAGGAAAAAUUAUCCAAAAAAUCAAAAUUUUUUUUAUUUUAAAAAUUUUUUUUAAAUGAUUUUUUUUUUCUUUUUUCUUUCUUUUUCUUUUCCUUCCUCCCCCUUCAUCCACCAGCCACGUGCCUCAACGAUGGCUGGUAGCCCAACGAACAGCCAAGACACGGGUCUACAAGCUCGAGGCUCAACCAAUCCAAGCAAGCCCAAGUUCCGUCUAGGCUCGGGCCUUGCUAGCCUUUGGCAAGGCUUGACUAGCCCAAGGAAGAAGGAAAAAAAGGAAGAAAAACAAAAAGAAUAGGAAAUAGUUCAGAACUUGAUUUUUUUUCAAAGAAAAAAAUAAUAAAUAAAACAUAAAAAUAAAAGGAAAAUGUGUUUGAUGAAGGUUGAUGAGGUGAAAGAAGAUACGGAAAACAUUGGCCUUACUUUUGAAUAUUCUUUUUCUAUUAAAGGGAGGAUGUUUUCCAUGACUAAUUUAUUUUCCGUGAAAUAAACGACAAAAAAUACAAAAAAUAUUUUUCUUAAAGUUGUUUUCCACGAAACGAACAUAACCAAAGGAUCCAUUUGUUUUGUAAAAAAAUCAACAAUUUCAUAGUAUUUUUUUAUUUAAAAUUGAUUGUUUAUGUCACUUACAAAAUUGAAUUGACCAAAAAGUACUUUCUUCGUCUGCGAAAAUGCUUAAACAUGGAUUGUUGUUUAUUAUAAAGUUUGUCGAAUAAUUAUUAUAAGUGAUACGAACAAUCAUCUUGAAGGAAGAUGCUUUUUGUGAAAGAUUCAAAAAUUACAUACAAAAGUAAAGAAUACUGACACUUGGAAGAGUCCCCGUUGGAUCUUUGAAGUAAUCUCGAUUCUUAGGAAAAGUGCCAAAAAAGGCCUAAACCUUUUUUAUUUUUGCCGAUUUAGUCCUAAAGUUUUUUACGUUAUGCAAAUUCAGUCUUUUACAGCCAAUUUUGGCCGGAUUUUGCUGACUGCACGCCGGCCGGCUGACGUGGCCCGAUCGGCACUGACGUGAACAACUUUUAAUAUUAUUUUAAUAUUUUUAAUAUUUUUCUUUUUUAAUUACUUUUUUCUUUUUCUUUUUCUUUUUUUAUUUUUAUUUUCUUCUUCUCCUCUUCUUCCUCCAACUGGUUGCUAGACCUCAACGACCGGCCACCUUGCCAGUAGCCGCGAGGGCGGCCUCACAAAUGGCAGCGAGGCUCGCCCUUGCCAGAUCCGGCGAGGGCAAGCCUCGCUCGCCUGGCGUGAGGCCACCCUCGAGCCCUGGGCGGCGAGGCUCGCCCUCACCAGAUCUGGCGAUGAGUUGGGGUUCAAGUCGGACUCCGUCAACGGCUUGCUCUUCACCUUUUGCGAGCUUGUCUCCAGGGAGUUGUUCUUCUCUCCAAAGAAGGCGGGGUACCUCACCGCGAGGUUGGAAUCCGUGGUGAAAGCAAAGCUGCCCCUACCACUGCCGAGGCGAGUGGAGGAGCUCGAUGGCUCGGGCCGAGGCAAGCUCAAGGAGCGCUAUGAAGGAAUUGGCGCUCUCCGAGGGCGGAGCCAUCGGGUGCCGAAGAUCCUCGAGGAGCACUGACUCCAGCACGGCAUCAAUGGAUCCGACUAGGGUUAGAGCUGUCGGCUCCAUUGGGAAUCGGCUUCGGGAGCUGAUCGAAUCAAGUUGGCCUCCUCGCACCAAGCUGUCAAGGCUCGCCCUCAUCGGCCAUGGGUGAGGCUCGACCAUCGCCAGAUCCGGCGAGGGCGAGUCUCGCUGCCUUGCGCGAGGCCGCCCUCGCGGCCAAUGGUGAGGUGGCCGACGAGGUCGACCUCAACCUCGCCAGCCGUCACCUCUGGCCGAUAGCCGAGGUUUGGCAACCAGCUGGAGGAAGAAGAAGAUAAGAAAUAAGAAAAAAUUAAUUAAUUAAUAAUUAAAAUAUUAUUAAAAAUUAUACACGUUAGCGCCGAUUAGGCCACAUCAGCCGGCCAGCGUCCAGUCAACAAAAUCCAACCAAAAUUGGCCAGAAAGAACUAAAUUAGCACAACGUAAAAAUGUUUAGGACUUUUUUGGCACUUUUCCCUCGAUUAUUUGUUGUUCCCGGGAAAGUAAGAUCAAAAGCAAAGUUACAAAGCAUAUUGCUGCUAACCUGCAGGCCUGCUCGCAAGGAAAGAACCUUCCUUUCGUGAGGAAGUCAUCAUCAUAGCAACUAACUACCAUAAAAGGAAGAGAUCGGGGGUUCUUUUUUUGUCUCAAACCAAAUACCCCCGACCAAUUUCCUCAUCGCUUAGCAUGGCCGAAUCACUCCUUAUCAGCAUUGCUCAGGGCGUGCUAGGGAAGAUAGCGUCACCGGCGCUCCAACAAACUGGUGCAAUAUACAAUGUUGAAAACCAGAUCCGCGAGCUUAAAGAUAAGCUUCCCGCCAUUACGGCCGUGUUGUCAGAUGCUGAGGAGAAACGGGCGAAGAACCCCCGCCUGCAAGUGUGGCUUGGUCAGCUUCAAGACGUGUUGUACGAUGCGGAGGAUGUGCUCGAUGAAAUCGAGUGUGAAGCCUGACGAAAGCAGGUCAUCAAUCAGUACGGCGGCGUCAAAGAGAAGGUGCACCGUUUCUUUUCCCUCUCUAAUCCCCUAAUACUCCGUGUAAAAGUCAGUCAAAAAAUUAAGGAGGUUAGGGAGACAUUAUCUAAAAUUUCCGAUGCAAAGAAUGAAUUUGGUCUUAAUGAGCGGAGUGUUGACAGUGAUGCGACGCAUAAGCGAUCACGAGAGAUGACUUACUCGUUCAUAAGUGAGUCGGCUAACGUUGGAAGAGAUAAUGACAAACAAAAGAUAAUCGAGAUAUUGAUGCAAACAGACGACGAAAAACCCUCGGUGAUUCCCAUUGUUGGAAUAGGAGGUUUGGGCAAGACAACCCUUGUCAAGUUAGUUUACAACGAUCACAGUGUGAAAGAGCAUUUUGACUUGCGAUUAUGGGUGUGUGUACCCGAAGACUUUGAUUUAAAGAGAACUAUUGAAGGAAUUGUCAAAGAAGCAACUCAUGAAAGCUUGAGUCACUUUGAUAUUUAGCAAUUGCAAACAUUUCUGCAAGACACCAUCAAAGACAAGAAGUAUCUACUUGUCUUGGAUGACGUUUGGAGCAAUGACCGCAAUAGAUGGAAAGAUUUAAGAGAUUUGCUAAGCGUAGGAGCCAACGAAAGCAAGAUAAUUGUGACAACCCGCAAUUCAGAAGUUGCCUCCAUAGUCCAUAGUGGGUAGCCAUCCAUCGUAUCGUUUAAAACGUCUUUCUCAUGAAGACUCUAUGGCCUUGUUUGAAAAAUGGGCAUUCGACAAAAAGGAAAAGCAAGCACGUCCUGAUCUCCUUGAGAUUUGAAAUGAAAUUGUCGAAAAAUCACAAGGAGUUCCUCUCUUGGUGAAAACUGUGGGGAGUCUACUUUACAGAAAGAAUGAAAAAUGGUAUUGAGCACAUAUAAGAGAUAAUGAAACAUGGAAGUUAAUGGAAACAAACAUUUUGCCAGUAUUUAAGCUCAGUUAUGAUCAUUUACCAUCCCACUUGAAGCAUUGUUUUGCCAUAAUUUCACUUUUUCCCAAAGGAUAUGAAAUUGUUAGCGAUAAUUUAAUUAGGCUAUGGAUGGCUUUAGGACUCAUUAGUUCAACAAGAGAAAAAAUGGCAUUGGAAGACAUUGGUGUUGAGUACGUCAAAGAUUUGUGGAAGAGAUCUUUACUUCACGUGGUUGAGGAGUCUGAAUCAAGGUCAAUUUUUACAGUGCACGAUCUGGUCCAUUCCGUUGCAACAAAUGUGGCACAAAGUGAUUGUUCUAUUGUUGGUUUAGAUAAUGCAAAGAUUUCAAAAAGAGUGCGGUACGUUUCGUUCUCUAGUUCUUUGGUAGAGGGAAUCUCAAAUUUCGAUAAAGUCCCACCUUUUCUAAGAAAGCCAACUUCACAGAAGCUGCAUGCAAUUAGACGCAAUAGAUUUCAAUUCGGAGUUCAUGAUGAAGUUAUUACUAGAAAGUUAGUUAGAAGAUGCAUCUCCAAUUGUAACCGCUUACGAUAUCUGGAUUUGUCAUGUGGUAGUUUUGAAGAGUUACCACGUUCCAUAUGCAACUUGAACCAAUUGAGAUCAUUAAGAAACUUCCAAAUACCAUUUGUGAGCUGCAAUGUUUGCUACAAUUAUCCCUUCAUGGUUGCACAGAGCUAGUCCAUUUACCAAGACAUAUGAAAAGGCUCGUCAACCUUAGAUUUCUAAGCAUAACAACAAAGCAGAAGACUCUACAAGAAAGUGGAAUACAAUUCCUAAAAAAAUUGCAUUUUUUGGGAAUUCAUAUGUGUGCAAAUCUCCAAGUUUUGUUUGAAGGUGCUAGCCAACUGACUUGCCUUCGAGAGUUAGAAAUUGGAAAUUAUGAGAGACCAAUAUAUAUACCUUUUGAGAAUUUAAUCGCCCUGGAGUCCUUGGCGAUCGAUCAUUGUGAGUUCACGUUGACCCACGAGAAUAAGCCGAACUUUCCGUUGAAUCUUCGUAAGCUAUAGUAAUAUCGAGGUCUCACCAAGUGAUGGAGCUGCUCCAAUGUCUCAACAAAUCUGCUCGUACUUUGGAGUGCUUUUCAGUCUAUGAUUGCGCGAGCUUGACGGCUAUACCAAAAUGGCUACCCAAUCAUAAAUAUCUCAGAUCGAUUCGCUUGAUCAAAUGUCGCAACUUAUCGUCCAUACCGCAAGGAAUUCAGUCCCUCACUGCCCUCAAAGAUUUACACAUUGAACUUUGUGGUGAACUGAACCAAAGAUGUCGGCCUACUGAUGGCGAGGAAUGGCACAAAAUCGCUCACGUUCCUCAAAUCCAACUUAAUUUGACACGUGUACAAUGGACUGGUGAUUAGGUACGCAUCUCUCUCUCUCACCCCUCAUUUCUUCUUUGUUCUUAGUUGUAGCAUGAUCAUAUAAUGAGACUCCCUUCUUGUAUUAUCUUUCCUGGAUUCUUCGCACGAUGAAGAUUAAGAUAAGACACUGCAUUAUGCAUUUUCAUAAAAUUGACAACCUCAAAUAUGUUGGGAAAAUUUUGACAAAUCCCACUUUCUCUGUGCCAUCUGCCAUACUGAAAGUAGAACUUUUUUUCCUGAUGCUGGAAUCUGAUUUUCUGCUUUUACUUGGAAAUUCGAAUCUAAUGUAAUUUUUUUUAGUGCUUUUUUUUUAUUUAUGAUAACUGUUUUUUUUUAAUGAUUACUGUUGAAGAGCGAUAAUUUAAUUGGAAAUUUUAUUCUUUGACAAAUGAAGUUGAAAAACAACAUGCUCAACCACGGUCGCAUCUUUUAUUGAUCUUUAUUUUCAAGAAUAAUCUCUCUAUAUAAAUAAUGACUUUUGUUACCAAAUGACGGACAAAAGAGUAAUUUAAAAUGUGAACAACAACAUUAUCAUCUUAUCCAGUGACUCUCUCUUAUAUAAAUUCUAAAUUUAGAUAACCUUCCAUAUCAAUUUAUUCAAAUCAGUGACUACCCUUAUGUAAGUUUCGAAUGUUUUAUAUUAACAGAAGGUUAACUUGUGUGCAUCAUAAGAUUAAAUUAGAUAUGUAAGCACUUGCUCAUAAUGUACGCAUUGUAUGUUUUUGGAUACAUGUCCCUUCAAAUAAAUCUUAUAGCCUCGAAUAGAUUGAUUUAGCUAACUGACGAAACAUAUCUUGGUAAGCAGAUUGAAAAUGACAAAUUCGCAGUAUAUCACAAUAAAUAUUAUAAUACUAUGUUAUAGAUACUCUUAAGCUCAUCUCCUUCUUUUUUUCUUUUUCUUUUUUCUGUUGAGCAGAUGAACUCCUAUGAUCGUGGUUGCCAAUCUCGGGGCUCCGCAAAACUAUCUUGGUAAGUAGACUAAAAAUUCACAAUUCCGCGGUAUACCACAAUAAAAUGCCAUAAUAUUAUCUUAUAGAUACUCUUAAGCUCAUCCUGUUCUUUUUUCUGUUGAGUAGAUGAACUCCUACGAUCGAUCUGGUUGCCACUCCUCGCGGGGCUCCACAAAGAUUUGUUCGCGAACUCAGCAAAUCUCUUCAUUAAUCUAUUUCAUUUGCCAGUAUGAAAACAAUGGUUGCCAAUAUUGUGCCUUUCUCUUUAUUUCCUUGGAUAAGUGUUGUCCUUUAUUAUUUGCUUGCGUUUGUAUUGCCACUUUCUCUAUAGAGAAAAAUGACAUUCAUAUCGUAUGAGACCAACUGAAGCACUAUUUGAGUUUGAAAUUUUUUAGAGCAACAGUCAUCAUUCAUUUAGGAACAAUGUACGAAAACACAACGAACCAUCGAAUCUUACUUUUGAUAAAUUAGUGUCGGUCACUCGAUCUUUUCACAACAUAACUUUGCAUUAUCACCCUUCUACAAGGAUGAGUUUGUAAAAUAUGAUUGUUCCAAUAUUCAGUUGCAUUAGUUGGCAAACAAAUUUAUGGAAUUCAUUGCUUAAAAUCCAUUAGCAAAUUUCACUAAAGGUUUUUCAGUGCUUAUGUUUAAUCAGUGCUUAAAAUUCAUUGCUUAAUUUUUAGCAUUAAAUAUUUUUAGUUUUAUCAAACAGGAUGUAAUUUUUAGCGCGGUUGUUCGGUAACUGAUCUUGAUUUGACAUUUUCCGUAAGAUUUUGGAUUGAAAUGUAACGAAUGUAACUAAAUCUUUCUCAGAAAAUGGUAGAGGGACUAGUUUUGUUGCCGAAGCAAACUACAUGGACCAAAAUUGACAAUUGUUCAAAGUACGAGCACCGAAAGUGUAAUUGAUUUUGGAGGAUUGUACAUUCAAGCGCUUCAGGCCGAAGUCGAAGCUGACCCAAUAGUUGGAGAAUUUUAGGCAGAAAUUUGAUGGGAAUGAUUAAUUCUGGUCGAGAAUGGUAAAGCCAUAAGGAAUAGAAUUGUGACAAAUCUAAUUAUAUAGGGACCGAAAGUGAACUUCUCAAAACAUACGGAGCCCUGAUCUGAAGUGUUAUUUAACCCAUUUAUUGUUGCAGUUUCAUGUUUUUGGAGAAUUGCUGAGCAUAGUAUUAGCAUCCCAACGCUUGAAAUACUGAAACUCCAUACAUAGUAUUAGCAUCAACACAAGGUUCUACUUCGGCCUGUAGUACAGGUCCUGAUAUGGCUCCCGCUAGAAGAAGCCUAUAUUUAUUAUUGCCGAUCAGAGAUCGACGGCGUCCCAACACAACUCGCAUCCCCAUUUUUAGCUACAGCUAGGAGCAGGUCAUCCGCUGCGCAGUUUCUUGCUGAGCAUGUAUCUGAAGGGAGGGUGAGUAUACCUCCCAUUCAGAAACAUGUCGGCGAUCACCUGGUACGUGGCUUCCGUGAGAUGGACUCCGUCCCAGUUGAUGUACUCCGAGGGACGAGGGCACA
Molecule: long non-coding RNA, 48987 nt
Filed under: Eucalyptus grandis
Lineage: Eukaryota; Viridiplantae; Streptophyta; Magnoliopsida; Myrtales; Myrtaceae
Description: long non-coding RNA (EGRA_LNC000411)
Source: RNAcentral